GCAAAACCAAAGAUCACUGGGGACACCAUCCACUGCCUACUCACCAGUGGAGGCAAAGCAACUGCAAUUACACAAGAGAUUAGGAAACCAAACAUACGUGUGAGGCGUAAUAUACAUAAAGCAACAAGUGAAGACUAUUGAAAACUUUGCAAAACCAGAGAUCACUGGAGACACCGUCCACUGCCUACUCACCAUCGGAGGCAAAGCAACUGCAAUUACACAAAAGCUUAGGAAACCAAACAUGCGUGUGAGGUGAAAUAUACAUAAAGCAAAGAAUGAAGACUCUAGAAAGCUUUUGCCGCCCAACCGCCCACUAACUUAAUAGUAAUUGCUGACUACCAAAGUGAAGAGCCACGCGGACAGAGCAUUGCUGACUACCAAAAUGAAGAGCCACGCGGACAGAGCAAGGUUACAAUGCAAGAGAGCCAGCGGACAAAAGCAAAAUACCAGCAGAGCCACUGACACCCAUCAGCAAAAGACCAAAACGCCCCUCAAGCUCACACAAAUAACGGCAUAACCGGCCCAUUUUUUACUGUUCACAAGCGGAUUCUCGCUUUAUAUAUGUAAGACUAGAUGUUUUGCCCUGACGCUAUGCGUCAGGUAGGUAGGAAAGAAUUGUUUAGUUGGUAAGAAUAGCAAGUUGAGAAAGGUGAGGCUGUGGCGGUGGUUUGUACUGGCGUUAGCCAGGUGUUGUUUAUGUGAUUUUGUAGUAUCUGAUUUGUAGUUUGCAUGAGUAGGAUUGCUACUUGUGUUUCAUGCGUUGAUUGUGUCAGGAAAAAAUUGCCAAGUUGUGCUGAUUUUCUUUGUACGUGGCCAGUUUCUUGCUACUAUAUAUAAGGACCUUCGUGUUUUGGGAAUGGUUAUGUGUGAUAUAUUUUUGGUUUGCUAGGUAGUAGUUUGUAUUUGCAAAGUGUGUGUUUUUUUCAGUUGGAUGGAGUCGCAGUGUGUUAGUGUUUGCGGAUUGAAUGAUAGAAUUCGAGGAUGGAUUGCUAAGUUAGUUGUCGUGGAAAAAACUUUAUUUCGGCGACCGCGGAAUUCGACUCGAAUGUUUUUUCGAGUUGUUUUUGCUGAUGCUUCUGUAAGGGCUUCUUAGACUUGUUUUUGUAAGUUUUAUUGUGUUUUUGUUUUGUUGAUAUGGAUAAUAGGUAUCUCUCUUUUUUUCAGGGUGAUACAAUUCAAGGAAUAACAUAUUUAUCUGAUCUGGAUGCUAUGGAUUGUGCAUUGGAGUUGCAUGGGACAUAUUAUAUUGCAAAUGCCACUAUACAGUGUCUACGUAGUUCACGGAUGCAGAUUGGGAUGGUUCCAUAUGAGAUUAUUAUAUCACAUAAUACUGUGAUUAAUCGUGUUUUACCUGAGCAUGCAUUAUCGGUGGAAAAUUUCUAUGAACUGACUCGUUUUUGCGAUUUGGAUUCUUUGAGGGUUAAUCCAAAUGCAAGGAUAAGUAUAACUUUUUUUUUGUUUUUUUGGUUGUGGUGUAUUAGUAAGUUUAGGUAUUAUUGGUGUGAUUGCAGGCUAAUUUGUUAUUUUUAUAUGAUAGCUUUGCUUGGUGUAGCUGUUUAUGCUGGUCCGGCAAUAUUUUACGCCAUCGGAAAUAGACAAGUUCAUCUGCAAGAGUUUAUUAUCUUGAAUGAAGAGUAUGUUAUCAGUUUCUGUAUGGUUAGUUAAUAUAGUUAUAAUUAUAUUUUUUAAUUGUGUUUGUUUAAUUUUAGUGUGUAUAUAAUUUUUGCAGGAGGAUACCAAUAGUGUUUUCAGUAUGGGAUGAUUAUUUUGAGGAUGAUGGCAUGCAUUUAGUUGAACUUAUCAACGAGCGACCAGUUGUUAUGAUUUGUCGUCCACGUAUUAGUCAUCUUCAUGGUAUAUGGGUUUGAUUUUAGUUUUCUAUUAUUUAUUUAUGGUUGUGUCUAGGAUUUUGUUUAUGUAGAUAUUUUUUGUAUUUUUUUUUAUUCGCAGGUCUUUCUAUUGCAACUCAAGCGACUACCAUUAUUAUGUAUAAUCCUAAUUUGCUCGUGGCUCAGCAGCUAAGGCAUUGGUAUGAUACAUUUGUUGGUGAUACUGGCUUUUGAGCAAUGAAAGUGAAGGAUUUUUGGCAUCGCUUGUGGUGAUAUUUCUGUUGGUGUUAUAAUAGCUAGUAUCUAAGAGUGAUUUGUGCAUAGUUGUAGUUUUGGUGUGGUAUGUUACGGUUGUUAUUUCAUUGAUGUUAUAAUAGUUGGUAUGUAAUAGUGGUUUGUGAAUAUUGGACGUUUGAUUUUCCUCUUUUUUUUUUUUCCUUUGGCUGGUUUGGAGUGGUAUCAUUGAAUCUAAGUUUGUUUUUUUAAGAAGUAUUUUUUGGUGAAUUAUUUGAUUGUUUUUAGAAGGAUUUUUUAGAUAUCUUCUUGUUAUAUUUUGCUUAAUAUUUAUGUAGCUGUAAUUGAAUUAUGCUGAUGCGGUAUAAUUGUGUAUAAGAAGAAGAAAUCAAACUUUAAGCAAUGUAUAUGUAAGAUAUGUGCGAAUUUGAGUAGGAACAGGAUAAGUAGUUAUAUCUUACAUAUAUUUCAUUUACAAGAGCAACAAGAGCAAGAUAUAUUCAAAAGUGGCCUUGCUAAACUAACUGGCGUUUAUGUACAUUCCGCGCCUUAGGUAUAAAAGUGUCUAAGCAGGGUCUGCAUUAGCCAUUUGCAAUAUUGCUGAGGUUGAUUAUAGAUAUAAUAUUGAUGGUAGGGCUGAGCAAAAGUGAUAGAAGGUGUGCUGAGUGAGAGAUUUAGAAGGUGCUGAGGUGUUUAUGGCUUUGGGCGUUUGUUGUGGGCUUCUUGAACUGGCUGAAGGGGGUGUUUUGAUGUUGUUUGUUGCUUGAUUGACGUAAUUUGGUCAUUGAUGGUGGUAUCGAUUGAUGGUUCAUGUGUAGGUUCUUGGGAUGUGCUUGGUUCGGUAGAGUCAAUCACAGUUGUGAUCUGAAGGUUACUGUUGUCGGCGGCUAGAUGGGGAAUAGUGUUUGGGGUCGGAGGGAUUGUAAGAUAAGCAACAACAAUGUAUCGUGCAGGCUGAAGUGUUUCUGAUGGUCGAAUGAUAUUUCGUAGUUGGAUGUAGAAUUGGGUAUCUUGGAGGUUGUUAUUGAUUAGCUGGAUGUUGAUUUGUUCAUGUAUCUUUUGCAUGUUUAUGAUUUGCUCGGCUGACAUUUGAAGAAUAGACUCUGCAUAUUUGUCUUCAAUUAAUGCUGGUAGAAUACUUGUACCAUCAAAGAGUUGAACUUCAAAACGGAGCCUGCCAUUACAUCAAAUUGUUAAGCAUAAUAUUAGAAUAGGUACAAAAUUAAGUAGUAAUUGAUAAAGCAUAGAAAUUAAAUGCGAACCUUGGUAAUGGUUUUUGGUAAGUGAGAUGGCAGUAAAAGCAUUUGAAUUCUGUAUCAGUAUCAGCUCCUGUUGGUUUUGAACAAUCAGGUUUUGGACAACUUAGGUAGUAAAAACGUGUGUUUGUCACUGAGAUACGAAUCUGAGCCUUUAUCCAAAAGGGCCUGGUCUGUGAUUUCAUACGAUAUAUGUUAGGUAUUGGUAAUUUUAUCUGCAACUGAUUAAUAGCAGUAUGAUUAAGACUUACAUGUUCAGCUGUCAUAGGAAUUGUCGCUAUUUCUUGUAGUUGUGCAGUGGUUGGUGGAUGGAUAAUUUGAUUUGCUUUUUCAUAUAGUCUUUCUUUGAUUAUUGUUUGUAUGUAACAGCUAUUUUCCUUUAUCCUGCAUAAAAGUUGGGUUUAUGAAUCUGGUUGAUAUGAGGAUUAUAUAGUUUAAAUUAAUAGGAUUACCAGUUUCUCAAAGCUGUGGCUUGGGGGAUUUCUGGAUUGAAUAAUAUGAUAGUGGUUGCUUGUGUUCCCAGAGAAAUUGCUGCAAUUGAAUGUAAAUAAGAAUAUAGAUUGUGAAGGUGUGUGAUAAUUUUAUAUAGUUGUAAAUUUGUAUCAGAAAAUAAUAUGCUUACUGUGAUACGAGUUGACUUUUGGUCUAGCCAGUAAGAUGAUAGGUUGCUGAGGUGCCAUUGCUUUUAAUUGCGAUCCUUCGACAGAUAAGAAUUCUUCCCAUAUCGUAAAAGUCAUUGGUCGUUUUCUGCAUGUAUAGAAGUGUAAAUAUUAUGAAUUAGUAACAUAUGGUAGAGAAUAACUUUUAGUUAGAAUUGGCAAGUACUCUUCAUUAACGACAGCAAAUUCUUGGAUCGGCACAUAUCGUUUUCCUCUUGGCACUAAGCGAGGAGGUAGCGCAUGCAGGACAGCACAGAGGAUAUCUGUACAUCAGAGAUCAAUUGUAUUUAGACUACAUGUUUUGUAAAAGGCAGUGUAAGGCAGUGGAUGAAAAUCAUACUUAUUCUUGUUGAGUAAUCGCCAAUGUAAUUAUGUAGCUGUGUAAAGGGUGUUAAUUCAUAGCAAUCAUCAGAGGGCAAUGCAUCAUGUGAUGAAACAGCCUGAAUAAAUGUUCUUUUCGAGAUUGUUAACUGAUAUGGUGAAGAUGCAAGAUAAAAAGGGAUGCUUAUUUUUGUAACCCAAGCAUUUCCAAUGUAGUAGGUGGAAUAAAGCUGAAGAAUUGGCUCGAUAUCUUGAAUGUCUCUUUCGAAAAUAGUUCCUUGGAUGGUGUUUUUCUGCAUUUAAAAAUUGAAGAGAUGUAAUGAGUGAUUUUGUGUAUAAGUGUGUGUGAUAAUAGGUAGAUGAAUAAAAAUUUAUUUGGUUUGAUAUAUCUCACCAUAGCAUCAGCGAACACUAAUUUUUGAUAUGGCCUUCCAUCUUCUUUGCUAUAACGAAUUGCACUUUUUUCUAUCACAAUAAGUUUAGCAAACCAAUUUGAGUUCGUGUCUGUUAACUUUGGUAUCAGAACGCAUUUUCCCUCCAUGUUGAUACUGAAAAAAGAGGGAGCAAAGUAAAAUUAAUUAAUAAGUAAAGUAAAAGUUUCUAUGUAUUAUAUAUGUGAAGGAUUUAGUUUCAGGAGAGCUUGUUUGAAUGCAUUGCAAAAGAAAGCUAGGAAUGAAAUUACCUGGAUAGAUUGGAGAGCAAAGAUUCAGAAGCACAAGAAGAGGUUUGCGAAUCUGUGCAAGCUAAUGAGAUGUGUCUGUUGAGAUGGAAUUGAUUUAUAUAUAAUGAGUAAGGAUAGUGGAAUGAGUGAUAUGUGAUAAUGAGCAUUUGGUCUGGCGCAUUGUUAAUGGGAGACAGUAUCUAAUUGCAUGUGGUUAGAAGCUGCCAGAGAAAGCAUGUAAUGAUUAAAAUGGUGCAUGGCAGAUAGAGAUUACGUGUUACACCUACCAAUGAGUUUUACAUGUGUCAUGCAAUGAAAUUAGAAACGAUUGCUGCAUAUUGUGAAGGACAUCUGGAUAUGGCUUUCAUGAUACAGGUAGCAAUAUAGAAGGUACAGGUGUUUAAGUCGGGUGUUGUUGAAGGCUCUAAGCUGGUAAACUCAUUGGAGGUUAGCAAAAUAAAAUUCCUUUGGAUCUGUUAUAAUCUCUUUAUUUCUUAGAUGUAUUUCAAAGCUAGCAAUAAUUUCUGGUCUCUAAAUAAUCAUGACAGCUUGCAUUUGAAUGAGCACUUCUAACCUGUGGGAAUGUCAUACAUUUUAAGGCAUUGGCUGGUGGGACUUUGUGGCUGGAUUUAGUCGCAAGCAAGAUUGCAGCAGAGUAGUGGAUUACUGUUGGAUCUGCUAUAGGAAACAUUACUUGCAGGUCUUUCUUUUAUUCUCCAUUUUGUUUUGAGCAAGUCGUUGGAUGAUAGAUUCCUUUUCUCUCCUUUUUCAUUUUGUUUAGACUUGUAUCCUCAAUGUUGUUUGUUCUUGCAGCAAUUCGGUGAAUAUCUACAUGGGAAUUGGUAUUCCGUGGCUCAUUGAUACAAUAUAUGACUUCAUCGCAUACAAUGAAUUGUUGCGCAUACACAAUGCUGAAGGUACCUGGGGAGAGGAAAUGAAGAGAGAGGCAGCAGCUAGGAGCUGGGAGAUAGUAUCUGGGAGUGGGAGGUCUAAUUCUGAGGGGGGGUUUUGACUUUAUAUUUUUUAUUCUAAUCAAAAUUGGCGAACAGAAUUUAUAAGAAAAUAGAGAAGGUGCUUUUUUAUUUUCCUUUCGACUCUAUUUUUUUCCUCCCCUAAGUAGUUUAUCCAUAUUCAUUUCCUAGUAUAGGGUAUAUAGGGUAGUGAAUGAGAGUUUCUUACCAUGUUCUUAAUUUCCUUAGACUCGUAUCUUCUGUGGUGCGUUGCUAGAGGUGUAAAGGGUGUCAGCUGGCUAUUUAUGCGAGAGAAUCAUUUGUUUUCAAUUUGGACAUCGUUUGGUUACUGCAACUGUUGCUUUAUGUAAUAGCAGCUUUCUUUAACCUUUUUUUUUUUUGAAUUUGUUGUGAUUUGUAAAAGAAUGUCAAGCACCACCUUUGCCAUUGUAGAUCCAGGACUUGCCAUUGAAUCCAAGAUUUUCGUUCCAAUGCUCUAAUUGGUCUUUUGACUUAAAUGAGACUCAGAAAAAACAUGUUAAUUGCAUAUUCCAGUUGAAUCUGGAAUUUUGACAAAGAUGUGUAACUUAUAUUUAAUCAUAAACUUUUUGUUGUAAUCAUGAUUUCUUAAGAAGGAUUUCAUGAUUUUUCGUCAAUAAAAAAAAGCGAUAAGGUGUCACUUGAUUAUAAUAAUGACUGAUGCAGUAGUUCAAAACCUUUUAUGCAGGAAAGUCUUUAGAACCAGAAAGCUCUAAGCAAGGCAAGUAGUUAAGGAGAAAUGAAAGAUGUACGGCUAAUAUUUUCCUAAUAAAGAUGAAAACAUUAUACAGGGAGAACUGGACCGCAAAUACUUGAUUCAUAAGCUGGAGAAUAAACUUACGAAUUUCUAAAAUGAAAACCCUUAUACUUAGUGAAAAUGGCACUUGACAACAAAAGGAUAAAGUGCGACACCAAAACCAAAUGCUCUGUAGAAACAGAAUCAGCCACAAAAAUCAUAUAGCUAUAAACAUAACCUUCCUAUGGCAGUAUAUGUCUAAUGAAUCUUCAAUAUGGUUCAGCUUCAAACAGCAGCAUUUGUACAAGCUGUCGCUGCAGCAGCUAAUGCUGCCCUGCUUCGACUAUUCCAGAUAUGUCGUGGUACGGUAUUAUUUGGACUUCAUAACUUGAUGAAAGCAAAACAAGAUCAGCAGGAAAGAAUUCAUCCUUCUUCACUUUCAUUACAUCUCCAAUUUUCAAAUCGAUGCACUUGAUGUAUUGGAAACUUCUAUGAUUGCUGUAUACUUUAACUAACCUGUUGUUUAUUUCAAUAUCCUGGUAUUAUUCCCAAAUCUUUAUUAUAUACUGGGUGAAAAAGAAAACACGAAAUACAGAUUAAACAAAUCAAAACCAAUUGCAGAUCAGCAAUCUUUAAGCAAUUUAACAACAGAAGAAGGCAGCAAUGGAAAGUUCAAGACUUGCAAAAGGACGAGACAAAUGUGGACAUAAAAACUUUGGAAGUGAUAAAAUUGGGCAAAGAACAUGAGAAAGAAGUGUAUAGGAUGACGAAGUAGGAGCUUUUCUUCCUCCUGAAAGGAAAAUGAGAAUAAGGGAAAGAGGAAAACGAAAAGGGAAGCCAAAGUUUUCUGUGCAUCAUCGUUUUAGAAUUAUUCUAAAAUGUUGUAUCUGGAGAAGCAUUAGCAGAACAGUGCAGUAAUUGAUUACCUACAACAUGUACCUUCUGUUUUUUGAAACAUCAAUGCCACAUUUCGGAACAAAAAUCUUGACUGAUUUGUCAGAGUAACACCUAUGAACUCAGGUAGACCAGCUACAAGAUCAAUGAUGCAUGAUAGUUAGGCUUAUUAAAUUCCCCUUGCAUUAAAAUUCUAGAAAUUAAUUGCAAAAUAUGGUCCAAAACCAUAUAAAAACUACUGGAAAAUUUACUGCAAUUUGACAGAAAAUACUGGGAUUAUUGAUAAGCUACAAUACUUCAAUGUACUCAGAAGGGGCAUUUGAGCUGAGCUCCUGGACACAAAUCCGAUGGUUAUUGAUAAUCUAAGAUCAGAAAUGUCACUUACUUCUGAAUCUCCUCCAUCUUUAUCUUCAGCUUUUCACGCUCAGCUUCAGUAUUAAUGCUCCCUCGAAGUUCCAGGUAGACAGAUACCACUUCGUUUACAACAGAUACUGCACAUCCAGCUGGAGAGACGUCAUUCUCACCUAAAACCUGCACAUUUUGAUCUUUUUAAGGUCACAAGGAUAAGAGAUUGGAAAAGGAUUAAAAAUGCCACAAAAGUAGGGCAAAAGAAGAGGAUCAUUGCAAAAAACUAAUGUUGAAAAGCCUAGCCCUCCAAUUAUAGAAUACUCUAAAGAUUCUUGCCUGGAUAUAUUACUGAUUCUACUGAAACUUUGCUUUUUUCUUUUGACAGCAGUCAUCUUCAGCAACUGUGAGCUUGUUAUGCCAAAUUCAGAAUAUAACUCUAAUAGAGUGAUCAAAUUUUCACUUUUCAGUAGUGAAUAUGCUAUCUUGCAGAAAUAUUGAAGUUUCCUGAUGAAAAUAGACAAAUGGCAACAGAUAAAAGUACGAAUUAGAUUCCAAGAAAGUCAGUUUCUUGGAAGGAAUAGAGAAGCAAAUGGUAAUUCUUGCAGUGUCUGUAAUCAUCAUAGAGAAGGAAUUGUUCUGCAAAAAAUAAUUGCAUUUGAAAUGUUAAAUUUUAGGACAAUAUCAAAAUGCUAUAAAUCAAGUAGGAAAUGAAGAAGUGAUAAAUCCUACACCUUGAUACAGAUUUUUUCAGCUCAUGAAACAUGGAACGGGGAAAAAGGCAAUCCAUGGCAAAUUGUAUUAUAAUUAACAGGACCUGAAGCUAGUAUGGAUAACUUAUUGUUGAUCGAGGAUGACAAAUGUAUUGCACUUGCAGAGGAGUAUGUGUACCUUGCUAAUUUUGCUUACUUAGGAGGGAUAGGCUUGGCAGUAUUGACACUGAUUUUGCCUUUACUUCUAGGAUCAACAACAAUUACAACUUUUUCUUCAUCUUCUAUUCCAGCCAGUUGAUGAAACCUGACUUUGUUCUUGACCAGUCCUUUCUCUGUUAAGAAGUAGAAGAAAGCUCAUGUUUCUUGAUUGUAGACCUUGAGCUGAACAUUUUGUUUUUCCUUCUUCUUUCUUGGAAUGUACACUUUUUGCUGCACUCGUGCCAUCAAACAUAUUAACUAAUAAUGAUAUGAUCAGGCUAUUGGUUGCCGAUGGAUGAUGCUUCAUGAAAAUAGCAGACUUGUUCAUUUGUGAAACAAAUUUGGCAUUACCUACUUUCACAAAGAAAGCAGUAAGGAAGUAUAAACAAAAUAAAUUUGAAAUGGAAAUUAGGAUAAAGAGUUAGAUAACAUACCUUAAUCUGUAUCAAUAUGAAUUGCUAGCAUAUAUUCAUUAAUCAUUCAUGAUUGCAGAUAAGACCUCUUUGUAGACUAUAUUUUUUGUAAGAUUUGUUACUUUGGAAAACAGAUUUGGAGGUCGUAUUAAUACUUUAACAUUACUUGAUGUCCUGCCACGUGAUAAUGCAACAUAUAAUUGGCCAUGGGAGAAAACAGGCUCUUUUAGAUAUAGACCGACAUAAUCCAAUGUUUGUCCUUGUGCUUUAUUAAUCGUCAUUGCAAAACAUAAUCUCAGAGGAAAUUGUGUUCUUUUGAAAGGAACUGAGCAGAAAUCAUCAUCAGAAGUUUGCAAAGGAAUUCGAGGAAUAAAGACAUGUUUACCUUUAAGAGAACCGCAUGCAAUCUCUGCAUGUAUUACAUUGUUUCCAAAUUCUUUGCAUAUCAAUCGGGUGCCAUUAGAUAGGCCUUCAGUAGGGUUGAUGUUUCGAAUCAACAUAACAGGACAAUUAAUCUUUAAUGUUAGCCUAUGAAGAGGUAAACCUUUGGGCAUUAGUGAAUUCAAAAAAUCUUGUGUCUCUGAUUGAUGAGAUGAAUCAAGGACUUCAUCAUAGCUUAAAUAUACCUGUUCUGUACCUGGAAAUUUAGCAAUGACUUUGUUAUUAAUUUCAAAUACAAAAUCAUUUCUCGUCAUUAAAAUUGCAUGGUUAACAAUAGAAUCCGGGCAAUGAGCAAAAGCAUUUAAAUCUGGAAAUACCGCGGUGAUCAAGGCAUCAACUGAUGAAUCAUCAUUGAGAAAUACCAAAUUCAUUCGUUCAGGUACACAGACUUCGUCAUUCUGGUUUGUUGCUUCGAUACCAUUACCAAUUCGAAGAAGGUAUUUAGAGAAAUCCGGAUCUAGCUGAGCUCGCAUGUUCUGGGAUAGUUUCAAUUUUAUCAGGUACGGCCAAAUAGGAGAUGUUAUUAAGCUAGCAUUGACGAUUUCUUCUUUACACCCUUUGGUCACCACUGGUAGUGUUUGUCGAAAGUCUCCACCAAAAACAAUGAUCUUGCCACCAAAUAUAGCAUCUUUAUUCAUGAUAUCUUUUAAUGAAUCAUCAAAUUUUUCUAUCGAACUGCGUUUUGCCAUGCUUGCUUCAUCCCAAAUAAUUACUUUUGCAUCUCUUAUUAAUUUAGCAAUAGCACUUUGCUUCCCAAUAUUGCAAGUUGCUGUAUCAUUAUCUUGUAAUGGAAUUUUGAACCUUGAAUGUGCUGUACGCCCACCAGGUAAAAUUGAAGCUGCAAUUCCAGAUGUUGCAGUUGCUAAUGCUAUGCCUCCUUUCGAUCGUAUUGCUGCAAGUAGAGCCCUGUAUAAAAAAGUUUUUCCAGUUCCACCUGGCCCAUCUAAAAAGAAUGCACAUGAGAUGUUAUUAUCAAUAGCAUGCAUAAUCUUCUCAAAUGCUAAUUUCUGGUCUGAGUUUAAUUGCUCCAAUGCACCAAGAUCUUCAUUAGAUACAACUAUGCUUUUUUCAACAUCAACUUCCUUACUGUUUAGGUCCUGCGACAAUUGUUCAAGCUGAAUGUCAGUUAAAUUGUAUUCAGCAAUGUUUUUUCCCAUAGACCGAAGACUUGAAUCAAUCAGUUGAAGCACUUGUAUUUGCACAGAAUGUGGUCGGACUGAUGUAUUAUGUCGAAUAUCUUCAGAUAAGAAAUCUUCAUAUUUCAACCACAACUCUCGUGGGUUUUUAGGAGUACAAUAAGCCAGUAUAGAUGCAAAGAGUUGUCUAAGAGAACUUGGCAUUUGGUAUGCAGAGGCCUCCUGUAAGCAAAGUUCAGCAGCAUUGUCGGAAUGUAACAGUCCAAGUAAAUUUGCAGCUUCUUUAUAUGUUUGGCAUGCAUAUCCAUUGACAACUUUUAAAUGUUGGAAAGAAGUAGGUUUUCUAACAUGCAUUAACAACAUUCUUAAAUAAUAACGCUCCCCCUCAGUAGGAUGAGCAGUUAAAAUACGACCUAUAACUUCUUUUUUUUUUCGUCUAGUCCAAUAUUUUGAUUGUGCAUUCCAAGUAAAAUGCUCAGGAAACUCUAUAUAUAGACAAUUCAAAUGCUUGGCAUGUUCAUCAUAACAAUUCAUGCUAAAAAACUCUGUAAGCAUUGUUUGUGAGGAACGUGGGUUAUUGAUUAUAUUUUGCAAUGAUUGGUUUUCAUCAAAUGUAACUGAUUGUUUAUUCUCCAAAUGAAGUUGCAAAGGAAUUACCGAUGGAUGUAUUUCAUUUAAGUCAAAUGCAUAGAUUCUCCCAUAGUUAUUAAACCCGGCCCGGCCCGGCGGUCGAACCGUUCGAACCGGUGACCCGGUCAUCAAACCGGGCCGGGUUACUAGUUAGAUCGGAAUUGCAAAGAACCCGUCUAGACUCGUUCGACUCGGACGGUUGAACCAUGGAACCGCUAGAACCGGCGGUUAUUGAUAAAUCCGGUGGGUUUUGGCAAUUUUUUUGAAGUUACCAUUUUACCCAAUUCUUUUAUUUUGACCAUUCACAGUACAUGGGCAUUAUCAUCUUUUCGCUACAUUUUUAGCCAAUUAGAAGAGAAAAUCAGAAAAAUUGAAGAGGGAUUCGGGCAUUUGGGCAUUCGGCCGUCAUUGGGGAUUUAGGCAUUUAGGGAUUCUUUUCUUCUUUGUUUCUCUUGAGAAGUGAGAACGAAUUGAGAUUUGAGAACUUCUUGAGCAUUUAAGGAUUCGGCAAGCAAUGUUCCAAUUUUUCGGCUUUCAAUUUUUCAGGGCUACGGCUUUCAAUUUUUCUUUCCUUUGCUUUGCUAAUUGCUCUAGCCUCUGAGAGUGAAGUUCGAACUUGCCGCAGCCGCUGCUAGAAUUCUUCUAGGAAGCGCCGCUGCCACCGAAGCUGCCAUUGAAGGGUGAAGCUUUGUUGCCGGUUGCAACUGGACACACACCACGGCACCUUGGAAGUUCGAAGUUGCCGCAGCCGCUGCCGCCUGCCAGAAUUCUUCCAGGAAGCGCCACUGCGACCGAAGCUGCCAUUGAAGGGUGAAGCUUUGUUGCCGGUUGCAGCUGGACACACACCACGGCACCUUGGAAGUUCGAAGUUGCCGCAGCCGCUGCCGCCUGUCAGAAUUCUUCUAGGAAGCUGCCGCUGCCACCGAAGCUGCCAUUGAAGGCUGAAGCUUUGUUGCCGGUUGCAGCUGGACACAGACGGACAGACCACAGCACCAGUGAAGCCUUGAAGGUAAGUAAAACGGAAAUUUAACUGAUGACAUGCUUCAAGAAAGUGGAAAUUUAACCUUUGACAUUUUAAUUACGUCUGUUGCCGAAGGCCACGAACCCAUUCUGUUAAAAAAAAGAGGUUGAGCCAUAUUUCACCUUGCAAAUACCUCAAGCCCAAGUUUAACAGCUAAUUCGAGAGUAUUUGAAGCUAAGUAUUCAAGAAUAUCCCUAAUCCAUAAAAAAAAAAUUAAAUCUCAGCUAUUCCUCAAUAUUGGCUCAGCUGAAUUGCAAAAUGUACCACCAAAAAAAAAUGACAGAUAACUGAUGCGACAUAGAUUCUUGCAUUAGCAUGUGACUAUAUUUUAUUUGAGUACAUACAUCGAAUUUCUGCUCUAAAUUAAACCAUGCCAAAUAAUCUGAAUUGAGUUUUGUUUCAACGUUGAUUUAGAUCAAUUGCAUGUGAAUUGGUCUUGCCAAAAAUAAUUAGGAUACGUGAACAUUAGCUAUUCGAUAGAUUAUGUUUAAUAUUAUCCAACAAAAAAUUUAAAAAGAAAGGCAUUGGGAAAGGUUGUGUAACUUGUGUUACAAAAUAAAAUCUAUAUAAGUUUUUUUUAAUUAUUAGUCUUGCACAAUUAAAUUAGUCGAGACACCUUGAAUUACCAAAAAAUUUUAUGAUAUUAAUGGCUAAUAUGCAGCUCGGGGCAAAUAUUUUUUGAUUGCAUAUACAAAGGACAUUCACUUCUUAUAAUAUUUGUAGUAAUAACUCAUAGUACCUUCUUUUCUCUUUUCCUUUUUCAUCUUCUUCUAUAUGUAGUAAGGGAAUGCCAUAUAUAAUUUAGUAGUUUUUCUUUCCAAAAAAAAAAAGUGAUAUGGAGAAAUCAAUAUACAAGAUACAAUAAACAAAGGUUGUUUAAUUCUUCUUGUGAUUCCUCCCAUAGCUUGAAUCUUGAUACCAUAUUUCAUUUCAUUCCCCAAACAUCAAAAUCAUGAAUAGUGAUAUGGAUCCAUCUCAAUCGAACUUUCAAGGGAUAAUGACAGUAAGGCAUUUAGCUUUCCAUUAUGUUUGCAUUUAAGUUUCACUUUUUCACUUUUUCACAGUAAGGCAUUAUAUAAAUGUCAUUUUCCUAGCUAUAAAUGUUAUUUUUUUAAAUAAAAGAUAUGUUUUAUUACUUUUCAGAUAGCUUGUAAUGGACUCUAUUGGAGAAACACCGUCUCAAACACCAAGUACAGAACCAACACCUAGUACAUCAAAUUCUCAAAAUCAACCUCUAACAAGGGGAAAGACAGACCCUGCAUGGUCUCAUUGUAGAGAAGAUUCUGUGUCCAACAAAAAAGUUAAGUGCUUGGUAUGUAUUCAUUGUGGAAAAAGAAUUCGAGGAGGUGGUAUCAAUCGAUUCAAACAGCACCUUGCAGGCUUAAAAGGGGAGACAACACCUUGUCUGAAGGUUGAUGAACAGAUUAGAUUUGAAAUGCUAGAAAACUUGAAAGCUGUGGAAAGCAAGAAAAGAAGCUUGAAAGAACGCUCAAGGGGAAGUGAUUUAUAUGGUCAAGAUCUAAGACAACAUGAAGAGGAGGUAUACAUGCAAGAUGUAGAAGAUUUUCAAGAGAUUCAACCACCUCCCACUAGUGAAGUUUCAAAAGGAAAAAAAGUUCUUCAACAACACAAAAAAGGAAAAACAAUAGGGACUUUUUUUAUGCCAAGAGCUACUCCAGGAGGUCAACCAUCCAUCAAAAGUGUGAUGCAAAGCAAAGAAACUAAAGAGAAGGUUGACUUGGCAGUUGCGAAGUGGAUGAUUGAUGCUUCCAUUCCCUUCAAUGCAGCAAACUCUGCAUAUUAUCAAACAAUGUUUGAUGCUGCUUGUUCUUUUGGGGCUGGUUACAAAGCGCCUAAUUUCUAUGACUUGCGUGGCUAUUUAUUGACAAAAAAUGUUGAGCAAGUUAAGAAUUUUGUUAAUAGCUUUCGUACAAGUUGGAAAGAAACUGGAUGUACUAUUAUGGCUGAUGGAUGGACUGACCAACAAAGGAGAACUCUCAUCAACUUUCUAGCUUAUUGUCCUAGAGGAACUAUUUUUCUGAAAUCAGUUGAUGCCUCGGAUGCUUCUAAGACUGCAGAGAUGUUGUAUAAGUUGUUUAGAGAAGUGGUUUUAUUUGUUGGGGUGGAAAAUGUGGUACACUUCGUCACUGACAAUGCUGCCAAUUAUGUUGCUGCAGGAAGAUUAUUAGAAAGGGAAUUUCCAACACUUUAUUGGUCUCCAUGUGCUGCUCAUUGUCUAAAUUUGAUGCUACAUGAUAUGGGCAAGUUAGAUGAGGUUAGUAAAGUGGUUGGACAUGCUUCAAAAAUAACAAAAUACAUUUAUAAUCAUUGUUAUCCAUUGCAUUUGAUGAGAAAACACACUGGUGGAAAAGAAAUUAUUCGGCCUGCUCCUACACGUUUUGCUACUAAUUUCAUUGCAUUGCAAAGUAUUUUAGUGCAAAAAGAUGCUUUAAGAGCUAUGGUGACUUCAAAAGAAUGGACUCUUUCAGCAUAUGCUAAGGAGAGUAAAGCAAAAAAAUUUGUGGAUCUUGUGCUAGAUUCUAUAUUCUGGAAAGAAUGUGCUAUAAUAGUUCAAUUAACUGAGCCUCUUGUUCGAGUUCUAAGAAUUGUUGAUAGUGAUGAAAGGCCUGCUAUGGAAUACUUGUGUGCUGCCAUGCAUAGAGCCAGAGAAGAGCUUUUGAGAAGAUUCACAAGAAAAAAAAAAACAGUUGAUCCUUAUUUAAGAAUAAUUGAUUCAAGAUGGGAUAGUCAGCUUCACAAAAAUCUUCAUGCUGCAGGUUAUUGGCUCAAUCCUGCUUAUCAAUAUAAUUCUCUUGAUUUGGAAAAGCACAGGCAUGCAACAUCAGGACUUUUGGAUGUGAUUGAGAGAUAUUCUUAUGCAAAUCCUGAUUUGAUGAGUAAUUUGACCGGAGAGAUGAGAUUAUUUCGUAAAGCUGAAGGUGAUUUUGGUAGAGUCUCUGCUAUACGAGAUCGUGAUGUCAUGCUUCCAGGUACCCAAAAAUUAACUUCAUUUUUAUUGAUGAUUUGAUUUUAAUUGUAAAAUAUUAUAUUCUGACUUUUUUCCUUUAUUUAUUGCAAUAGAUGAAUGGUGGACAUGUUAUGGUAGCACUGCACCUAAUUUGCAAAAACUAGCUAUACGUGUUCUAAGCCAAACUUGCAGUGCUUCUGGCUGUGAAAGGAAUUGGAGUUUAUUUGAGCAUAUCCACUCAAAGAAGAGAAAUAGAUUGGAGCAUCAAAGACUAAAUGAUUUGGUUUAUGUACACUACAAUUUAAGACUACAACAAAGGUAAACUACAUUUUGCAAUCUGAUUUUUAUUUUAAUAUGACGACAUUUGUUAUUUAACUAGUUUUAAUGUUUUGUAUUAUUAGAAAUGCAAGGGGUAGAAAUUAUGAUCCUAUUGAUUUUGAGGACUUCAGCGCCAAUGAAACUUGGAUUUUGGAUGAUGAACCUUCACAAUUAACUCCAGUUGAAUUAGAAAGCUUUAGGAAUGAAAUAGCUACAUUUGCUAUCAGCCGACAAAGUGGUGAGUUAUUCUAUUUGAGCCAUAUGCUUGCUUAUUCUUUGUUAGUUUGUUUUUCGUUUUUGGCUAAAUAUUAUCUAAGUUUAGAGAAUAAUUCAUUGAUUUUUGUACUUAUGUAGAUGAAACUCUAAAUUUGGAUGAUUUGGACACUGGAGAUGAAGAUGAGACCAAUAAUGAAGAGAAUGUUGAAAGAAAUGAUCUUAAUGUGGGCUGUGAUGUAAAUGAAUUUGGUGGUACUGAAUUUGGCAGAAGUUGGGAACCAUGGGCAUGAAUAAUAGAUGGAGUGAACUACUCAAGUGAUAAUUGUGGUGUUGUUUAUGUUCAUGACUUUAUGUUUGGUUGUAUUGAAUUGGUCGUUUAUGACUUAUGUUUCAUGGUUUGAUACUUAUAUUUAUCAUUUAUAUUUGUGUGUAAUUUACUGAUUUUAGUUUGAAUUCAUGAAUUGUUGAUCACAUAUGGUUAUGGAUUAUGUGUGUGAAAUGAAUUAUGAACUAUGAACUAUGAACAGGUUAUAACUUGUUGGGAUUUAAGAAUUUCUGUAAUUAUAUUAUAAUUUACAUGUUUAUUUAAUUAUAUUAUAUAUUUUUUUAUUAUAUAUUGUGACCCAACGGUUCAACCAGUGAUCCACCGGUUGAACCACUGACCCGUCAACCCGGUCCUCUUGCCGGGUUGAUGUCCGGGUUGGUUUUAAUAACUAUGGAUUCUCCACAUUGCUUCAGGAGGAGAGACCCAUCUUGCACAAACAAAAUUUUUUAUUUCGUCAACAAUUUCAAUAGGCCCAGUAUUACUCACCUGAUAUAAAAUUUUAUCAUGGCCUUUAUAGAUAUAUUUAUAUAUAUAUUUGACAGCCUGAAUUGUUGAACAAAUUUCUACAUUGAUAUGGCAAUUAAAUUUAGAGAGUAAAUAGGGAUUGUAUGGUAUUACCCAUCGAUUAUCAAGAGGAUGGCCACGAACAAUUAUUGAUUGCUGAAAAUCUCGUCGUCGAUAGAGAGGGUAGGAGUUGUGGCUGUGCCGUGUGAUUUCUGUAAACUCCUUAGGAUAGUUAUCCUUGCAUCCAAGAUGUUGUUUCAUGCAUGGGCAUUUUGGAUUCAUAGCACCACAAGGACCGUGCAUCAUGUGCUUAACAACGAGUUCAUGAAGAUAAGGAUGGCGGCUAGCAUCUGGCAGCUCAGCACAUACUACACGAUCAUAUGAUUCAGGAGAGUACAUCUUCCAUCCUUGUUUCAGAAUUAUUAAGAAAUGAGCGUGGGGCAAACCUCUUUUCUGGAAUUCGAUUACAUAUGUGUAAGCUGCUAUUUUUCCAAAUAUAUUCUUCUUCAGAAGUUCAUCUUUCAAGACUUCAAGUUUUGCACGGAAGACUCGAGAAAUUAGAUCUGGCCUGUUCUCAACUUUAUCAGUUGGCAGAAGCAAUUUUUUAAUCUCAGGCCAAUUCUUGUUACAAGUCAUUGUCAGAAAGAUGUCUGGUUUCCCAUAUCUUUGAACCAAAGACAUAGCAUCCAUAUAUCGGCGUCGCAUAUCUCGAGGCCCACCAAUGAAUGAAGCUGGAAGGAAAAUACGUUUACCAAUACCUGAUGAUGAUGAUUCACCAUUGGAAAUGCUAUCGACUAUGCCUUGAUAAAUCUCAGUUCGAAGUUGAGCCUGUUUGUUCCUCCCUCUAUGGAAAUCUAAUCUAAUUGACUCAAUCUUAACAUACAUAUCGACCACGUAUUGUUGCAGUAAUCUGCCUAUAUGCAAUAACAUUGACUGAUCAGCAUCUCGAAUUUGCAGUUUGUAACAAUAGUACUCACGACAUGAAACCGUGUUCCGUUUUCUUUUUUUUUGGUUAAUAGCUGAAACAAACAAAUAAUGAUAUUUAUGUUAUUUAUCGAUAAAGAAAGAUAAUAGACGAUGCUAUAUGGAGAUGAUUAUUGGUAAUACCUCUAUUUUCCGCAUCAAUGAUAUCAUUUGCCGUUGUUGCUGUAGCUGUAGCUAUAACAGUUUGUCCCUCACAAGUAACUGGUCUAAUAUUGCCUCUAUCCGGACGGCGCAUUCUCUCAAUCCCUGGAUGCCAACCUGGUUCUCCAUUUGCAAAGAUAAGAGGAUAUUGCAAUGAAUCAUGACAAGCAAAGUAAUGCUUAACAAUUUGCGUUUGACCAUUCUUUCCAUAAAUUUGUAUAUGUUUAGAGUUAAGAUGUUCAAAAUCUGAACUAUCAGUCCAAACAGCUCCUACUUGUGACACAGUAGGUUUAUUGAAAACUCGUUGAUCUAUAGCAGGCGUAGUUUCAAGCACAAUCUUAUAAUCAUCCAUGUCUGGCAAAUCUUGUAAUCCUCGAAAGAAUGCAGAGUAAGGAUUGAUCUUUAAAAUUUCCUCAAGCUUUGUCACCAGUGUUUCUUGAAAUCUAGCUGAAAUUGAAAGCCGCUGCGUUGUUUCAUGCUCAGUGUCAAAAAAAUAAAGCUGCAAGUUUCGUGGCUUCUCACCAUCCUCUGGAAUAAGCGCAUUAAUAUAAUGAUACAUUUGUCCUUGGAUUCGAAAUGUAUAAAUUCCAUUAUAAUUUGCAGCCAAAGAUUUGUCAGAAUGAAUACCAAUCGAGGUAAAUGCAAACAUAUUAUUAUAGCUUCUAACGCAUCUGCGAAACUCGACAGCAUGAUCAGAAUCUUCAAUAUAUAAUAACAUAAGCUCUCGCGGCAUCUCAGUAGAUAAUAGCUGUAUCUCACCAGAGGAACAGCAAAAACCAGGCGGUUCGUGAUGAAAUCGUUUUGCAUGACAGUACGGACAAUUUGGAACAUCAGGCAAUACUGUGGGCUCAAUAGCUAUCGUGGCUAACGGAUCAGUAACAGAGCGUCUUACAGAUCGACGUUUUCUACGUAAUGGUGAUUGACCAAUACCUAUAUUAGUUGAUGAAACCUCGUUAGCACUAUCAACAAUAGAGCUAGAUACAUUUUGUUCAUUUUCCUGCAAUACAACGACAGCAUAGUUAAAGAUUGGGAGUUUAACACGCUUAAAUAAGUCAAUCUGAUCUGUAAUAGAUAAAAGCUAACAUCUCAUACCAUUGGAAAUUGCUCUGCAUUAUUCUGUGUAGAUGGCAGCACUGGGUCUGAGCCUAAUGAAGAUUCUGCAGCACUCAUAUUUGGCUGAUUAAUAGUAUUUGGUUCACGUAUAUUAAAAGCUGUGACAGCCAGCGUACACACUCCUGAUGGCACAUCAUUUUUUCUCCUUUGGCGAGCAGCAGCACGUUGGUCGCGUCUCUUUCGAUUUUUCUCAGCAUUAGCCUCUUCUAAACUUUUAUAUAUUCUAUUCCGACCCAUUGUCCAAACAUUAAUCUACAGAAACCAUCAGAAAAUCAGCUAAGUGAGACAAUAAAGAUUUUACCUUGCAAAACCACAAAUCAUUGAGGACACCGUCUACUGCCUACUCACCAGUGGAGGCAAAGCAAUCGCAAUUACACAAGAGAUUGGGAAACCAAUUUCACCUUGCAAAACCACAGAUCACUGGGGAGCCAAAGCAACUGUAAUUACACAAGAGAUUGGGAAACCAAACAUACACGUGAGAUGAAAUCUUACAUAUAUAAAGCGUCAAUAGGAAACUUUAGAAAACUUUCCACGGCAUUUCUUAAGCUGCUAAACAAAACUAAGAAGAAGAACAGAACCUAAGAAGAAGAAAAAAAGCUAGGAGAAAAGAAAGGAUAUAGCUGACCGACCAACCGCCCACUAACUAAUAGUAAUUGCUGACUAUCAAAAUGGAGAGCCACAUGGACAAAGCAAAGCUACAAUUGAGGAGAGUCAGCAGACAAAAGCAAAAUGCCCAGCAAAGCUACAAUGCAAGAGAGCCAACAGACAAAAGCAAAAUGCACUGCCACCCAUCAGCAAAAGACCAAACCAACCGCCCACUAACUAAUAGUAAUUGCUGACUAUCAAAAUGGAGAGCCACGCGGACAAAGCAAAGCUACAAUUGAGGAGAGUCAGCAGACAAAAGCAAAAUGCCCAGCAAAGCUACAAUGCAAGAGAGCCAGCGGAUAAAAGCAUUGCCACUAAAUGGGAAAAGACCAAAGAACCCCUCAAAGUCACAAAAAUAAGGCGUAAUAUACAUAAAGCAACAAGUGAAGACUAUUGAAAACUUUGCAAAACCAGAGAUCACUGGAGACACCGUCCACUGCCUACUCACCAUCGGAGGCAAAGCAACUGCAAUUACACAAAAGCUUAGGAAACCAAACAUGCGUGUGAGGUGAAAUAUACAUAAAGCAAAGAAUGAAGACUCUAGAAAGCUUUUGCCGCCCAACCGCCCACUAACUUAAUAGUAAUUGCUGACUACCAAAAUGAAGAGCCACGCGGACAGAGCAUUGCUGACUACCAAAAUGAAGAGCCACGCGGACAGAGCAAGGUUACAAUGCAAGAGAGCCAGCGGACAAAAGCAAAAUACCAGCAGAGCCACUGCCACCCAUCAGCAAAAGACCAAAACGCCCCUCAAGCUCACACAAAUAACGGCAUAACCGGCCCAUUUUUUACUGUUCACAAGCGGAUUCUCGCUUUAUAUAUGUAAGAUAAGAUAUGAUACAGGUCACUUACUUAAAUAGGAGAAAAUCUUUGAGAAUCUGAUCGCAUCGUACAGCAAGGCCUCUGAUCCACCCGCGUGCGUCAACCACAAGAACUUGCACAGAGCAUGAGAAAAAUUGGGAAGUCAUAAUUUAUUAGGAUGCGAAGUUAAUUCAUGCCACACAAUAAAACGAACGCUCCAAUCUCCUCCUCCCUCUUUCCUCUCCUCACCAGCUUCGAUUUCCACCAUUUAAACCAAACAAAUUCCACAAGGAAUUCAUUUCUUAUUUGGGUAGAAAUUGCUGGUUUUUAAACUAAACUAUAUCAAAAUUCCAGCUGAGAAGCCUCUUAAUUUAUUCCCAUAAUUAUCGACCACAACCUACUUCCCCACGGUCCCUACACGCAUGUGAACAAACACAAAGAUGUUCGCAUCACUACUGUAUUUAAUGCUUAAACUCCGGAUUGGAAAUUACACAUUUCCGCUCCCGACCUAUAUAUUCCUCUAUCAUCUCCUCCUCCAUUUCUCGCUGCCCUUUUCUCUGAUUUUGUCCCUUUCCCCUCUCUCUCUCUGGGCAUGGUGGUGGUUGAGUUUAUAGGUUGUCGUCGGUUACAAAAUCCAUCAUAAGAUGUAGAAAACAACGUUUGUAUUGCCCAUUUUAAAUAUUCAGAGAGAGGGGACAGCAGAAUAUCAGCGACAGAGAGAGAGAGAGAGAGAGAGAGAGAGGAAAAUGAAAAAAAGUAUGGAGAUUGCAAGAAUCAGGGAGCUGCUGCUUCUUUGGUGUAGAGCUCGAAGCACCCGUGUGGCCCUUGUGGGUGGAAACCACACCGCUGCCAGAUUUUGCACCCGCUAAAUCCCUUUUUCCAUCCCCGUUGGCUUUGGUUUUUUUCCUGAUUAAUUAUAAUUAAGAUUUCUUGAUUUUGGGCUUUAUUAUUGCUCAAAAGUCUGCAUCUUUGCUCGCUGCUUUUUUGGUGAAGGUGCAUUGGAGGAUUAGUAGUUGAAAAAAGUUGCACGAAGAUCAAAAAUCAUUCUUUUUUGUUGUGAAAACAUGGAAUUGGCUCAAGGGUAUAGAACCAGCGCCGGAAUCAAGGUGAAGGAGCCGAAUGGUGGUGGGAUGGGAUUGAAUUCCCAUACCCUUUUGGUAAUUAAGCUGCCUGAUUCGCAGGUUUUGCAGAUUGUAUCCAGGUCGUUGUUUUUGGCAAUCAUUUUGCUCACAUUGCCUUCAAUUGGCUCUGUUUUAAGAAGCUCUUCCAAUGCUUCUAAGGUGAACUCUGAUCUGGCUAAUUUCAAAAUAUUGCCUGUUCUUUUUCGUGAUUUGGCCGACGAAGGCCUGAUCAAGAGGGGUCAGAAAGGCCUCAUCGUGGGUUCUAGCCUUGAUGAUUUGAUGAAAGAUUUGGACUUCGUGAGUGACAGUGAUAAUAUUGUGGCCUCUGAAACCAACUUGGAGGACUCCAUUCCGAAUGAAACUUUUGAUUUCGUUUUCAGCUUCAGCUUCAAGAAUGCUGAUUCCGUCGACCGCGUUCUGAAGAAUGGCGGCAUUGUGAUCACAAAGUUGAGCAAUGAUCCUUCAAGAUUGAUGCAACGACAAUCAAAUUAUAGGAUUGUGUAUCUGCGACGGUUUGAGAAUACCAUGGUUGCAAUGAGGAAAAUUAGCAGUAAAGAUGGCUUGACUAAUUCAGCCAAAAGGUCGAUCCCUUGUGGGAUCGCACAAGACGCCAGGAAAAUGGCAUUGAAAGGCUUAGAGGAUGCUUUGCUCGAGCCUCCCAGAAGGACAUUGUUGAAGUCCUCGAGAGAUGAAAUGAGGAAAAUCAAAUUCCUUCCUCAUCUGUUAGGGGACUUCCACUCCCUGGCAAGUUAUAGACGAAGGAUCUUGAUUUCAGAUGACAAAAGUGGUUUUGAAGGUUGGUUUCACAACAACUAUCCAACCGAAAACCAACACUUUGAGACAUACAAUCUAGAGAUUACUGCAGAAAAAUUGUCAUCAAGAAGCAUGGUGAAUCCUGCUGCAGGGAUAUCAGGUUGGCUGAAGAAUAAUGCGAGGCAAGAAGACUUCGUUGUAAUGAAGGCAGAAGCACAGGUUGUUGAUGAGAUGAUGGAGGAGAAGACAAUCUGCUUGGUGGAUGAGUUGUUCUUAGAGUGCAAGAACCACUUUCAAGAUGAUGGAGUGGAAGAAGAAAAUGAAAGCAAGAGGGCCUAUUGGCAGUGUUUAGCUUUGUACGGAAGCUUGAGAGAUCAAGGGGUUGCUGUGCAUCAAUGGUGGAAUUGAUUGCAAUCUAGCGACCUUUUGGAUGUCUGAUUAUGUUGUACCUUGUUUCUGGAAUUUCAUGGAUUGAAUUGGCAGGGAAAGUGGCCUAAAAUCUUAUUGGCCGCUUGAUUUUCUGUCUCUGAUUCUGUGCCAAUUGUGUUUUAAGGAAUUUGAUAUAUGUAAAGCGUAUUGUCUGCUUUGCCAGAUUAAUCAAAGAUGCUGGUACUAAGAAUAUUCCGAAUUUUCCAUUACAGCAAAGAAUCAUUUCCCCGUGCCUAUUUUGCGUUUACUGCCAGAAGCCCUGGCUGUGGGUUUUCUUCAUUUUUUGGCAAAUCAACCGCAUUAGACCUGGAGUUUACAUACUUAUUUUUUUAGAGCGAGCCUGAGAUUGCAAAUACAUGAUAACACUAAUAUGAAAAAAAAUAAAAGAAUAAGGACUAUCAAUAAUUACUACCAAGCCACAACCACCAUUCCCUGCAAUGCACCACAACUGCAUCCACAGUUGAACAGUUUCUUUUUGACAGAAAAAAAAAAGAAAAAGAAAGAAGAGAUGUAUAAAUAUGCAGCAGUGGUGUUGCAAGUUUCAUUAUCGACUUUUUUGGUGUUAGAAAAGCGAAGACCUAUAAACAACAGCUCAAUUUUCUCAUAGAAUAAUAACUGCAAUAAGCAUCUGCCAUCAAGAAAAGUAUCGAGAAAAAUCAAAGAAGAACCCACCAAGAGAAAACAAAAAUAAGGAGCUCUAAGUAUUAUAUUCUCUAUUUCCUUUUCUCUUGUAUAAAUAGACAAGAGUCACAGGGCGUAUAUGUCACAGAAAACUCAGAAUAUACAGACAGAUUCUACAGAUUGGGGACGUUUUUCCAUCCCCCAGGUGCUAGGAACCCCAAGAAAGGAGAGAAGCGAGAAAAAAAAAAAAAGGCUCUCACUAAGGGAUUCUCUAAAUUAACUGGAAUGAAGAGGCACAUCAAAAAAAUUCCCUAUCAAUCUCCAUGUUCAAUACCAGCUUCAGCUUCCCUUAAGUCAGCAUCAUUCAAAUCUAAUAAAUAGUCACAAAGCUCCAGAAGCUGAUCAGCCAUUGGAGGAAUACCUGGGUUGCGUCUAUCAUUGUACGCAUGGGCAUUGAAGGUGAUUUGCCAUAUGUCAUGCCUAAAUUCUUCGCUUCUUUUAUACUCCAUCCUCCUCACCUUUUCACGGAUUGUGGACAGAUCCAUCGGUCGGUUUAUGAUAUCAAGGUAGUCAGGAGCAUCCUUCUUGGAAACUGGCUUUAAAAAAAGAUAGGAAAUCUCUUGCUUCUCCUUGAGAGUCUCCACAAUGCUUUCCAGGAUGUUUGACAAGCCAACCUGAAAUAAAAUCAAGAUGAGCUUUACAUGCAAAUCUACAUUUUCAACCAAGAUUAAAGAAAAACACCAACAUGAGCAGAUAGAUUUGCUGCUUUACUAGAUUCCAGUCCAAGCAAGAUUAAAGAUAAUGCAAAGCAUCCCCAGUAAACUUAACAGCUAUCAUGCCAAUCCAGUCAAAAUAAUAACAAUGUAGAAUUAAAGAAUUACAAAGAUGGAGUACAAGCCUACAACAAGAUCACAUCACUCUUGUGCAUUUGUUUGAGAUUGUGUGAUUGGCAAGCAUCUAAACAAAAAAUGGCAUUUUUUGACAGAAAUGUCAGAUGACUAGCAAAAUAUUGUUUUCAAAGCAAAGCAAUUACCCACACCAAAGAACCUCCUUCCGCCCCUCCCCUCCCAAACAAGAAACAUCAAAAGAAAAUUGCCCAACAAUUUAAGUUAAGAUAAACAGUCCUUUUAGCUCUUCAACCAAAGUCAGAGAAAAGUAAAAUUACACAAGACUUGAUCUUGGAAUUUCUCAGCCCAUUCCAACCACUCUGUAAACAUGUAACGAGACCUUUUGCGCAGUUCCCUAGCCUUACUCCUACUAUAAGAAUCAAAACUCAUAGGCACAAGCUUACACCAUUGCACUCUUAGGAAUGAAUUAAAGCCUAACAAAAUAACCCCAGAAUAAAAACAACCAUACUAACACCUCAACACACACAUCCAUUGAAUGAUGGUAGCAAGCUCCAAAUCAUUGCUCAGGUUUUCACAGGGUGGGGGGAGGAGGGGUGAGGGUGAGAGUCCUAUGGAUGAAGCAGAUUUCAACAUCUAUAAUCAUACAAAAAACAAAAUAUUCCCCAAUGUGAGGAAAGGUUAUUUAACAUCAUGGAAAAACUUACCUCUCCUCCUCGUCUGCGCUUUGUUGCUGGGCCAUAGCCAGCACUGUAUCUUCCGGUAUCAGGUCCUGGUUUCCUCUUUGCUGUUCUGUCUGGUAUCCUCCUGUCAUUUCUUCUGGGAGGAAAAUCAUCCAGGUAAUCAUCUCUAAUUUCAGGUCUUUUCUUCUUUUUCUUCUUCUUUUUUGCCUUUUCACGUUCUUCUUCUUCUCUCUCCCUGCGGAUGGUUUCUUCAUAUCGUCUUAUCUCGGAAAAUCUAUCCCGCUCUUCCAUCGCCCUUUUCUGUUCCUCCAAAUACCUUCGGGCUCUUUCUUCUUUUUGUCUGAUAGCAAACCUCCUCUUCUCCUCCGCUUCCAACCAUCUCUUCUCCUCUCUGUUCUUCUUGCUUGCUGCUUGGUCAGUGAAAUAUUUGCUUUGUCGCACCCUAUGCUUAUCAACACUUGUCAAUUCAACAAUUUUUUUUGUUUUCCGGUACUCAAUUCCACUACUUCCUUCCUGACUUACGUCAUCCACAUUUAUAACCUCCUUUGGCCGUUUGAUUAUGAUUUUCUUGCGAGGCUGGUCUCUAUCAGACUCUGCUGGUGGCCUUAUAACAAUGGAAGGCUUUUGAGACUCAACCAGCAUAUCAUCCGGUUUAGUUUUGUUUGAAAAAAUAAUUUUGUUUACUUUGACAGCAGAUUUAUGUACUGUUUCAGCAUCUGAAGUUACAGGUUUGUCAGAAUUCUGUGAUGUGGCAGGAGUGAGCUUAUCGGGGGGUUUGUCAGUUGUGCCACAUUUGACCUUCAGAAUUUUUGCCUUUGUACUAGACUUGUCAUCCUCGUGGGCUUCAACCACAGCAAUUUUGGUUGCACUUUUCUGUAUGAGCUUCUUUGUAGAAGUUUUCUGCUGGGGUUGAUCUGCCUGAUCCAGAAUACCAACUUUCCCUAAGUUCUUCUCCGGCUCGUUGUUUUCAGCACGUGUUUCAACAUCUUCACCAUAUUUGGGGCAAUUUUUAUUAGUCCUCAUAUGACCAAGCUGAUACAUGGAAUAAAAAGGGGGGAAAAUCUCUUAAGAUCCAGAACUGUAAGCAAAGUAACAAGAUUCAUGUAUCAGCACAAACCUGGCCACAAGCCCCACAGACAAAACUCUCUCUUGCUGAUUUCUUUUCCUUGACAAUCUGGUGGCAAACAGAAAAAUUUCUACGUUGGUAGCAUGUCACUCAAAUCUUAGAGACAAUGGAGACUCAAACAAGCUUGCUAGUUUUGUAAUAUUAUGCACACGGGGUUAGGAGGGAAUGAAACUCAUAUAAGUACUUAUAUAUGUAUGUAUAUUUCAAUAACAAUCAGCUCAAAUGGAAUUUGACUACCAGCAUAGUAUAAAAUGAAUGAAACACAGAAUUGUUCCCAUCACACAGCAACAAGACAGGGACAUCCAGUAACAAAGAGAGAUACCUUAAUUCCAUCACCCAAUAUUUUAACUUUCUUUUUUAGAAGCUCCAUCUGUUCCAUGUCAUUCUUCUUCUUUGCUUUAAGUUUCCCGGAUAAGUUCUUUUUAGCUGAAAUAUUCUCGUCCUGCAUCCAAACCAAGGCAAAAGUAAAAUUGCUGAUUUUCUUGACUUGAAUUUGGGGACACAUUUGCAAUUACUGUCAGUAUAAUUUGUGUGACUUCAAGAUCCAUUCAUUCCAUGGUAAAACUUAAUCACAUCAUCUUGAUGAUAUGACGAAUAAAAGCCUAAGAAAGUUUGUCUGCUUAAGCAACCAAAGAAUACACAAAUUGAGCCACAAAGCAAAAUCACGGAAAUUGUCCUAGAAAGCUGACUGCUCUACUGUCAACUUUCUGACACAUCAUCAUACAGAACACCAUGCAUCCUGCAACCUCCACCAGUCAAUGUCACUGACUAUCUCCUCAUUCUAAUGAAUGCCUGGCCCGGUGGGUUAAAGCCAACAAAAACAAGAGAGCACUCAAUCACCAUCGUUAUUUCCCACAGCCCAUGUUUCUGCUUUCCAGAAAAGGAAAAGCGAUAACAUAAGCCACAUUAACUGUGUAUCUCUGAAUUAGAACAAGUAUGUUACUUGUGGUGGAAAUGAUUGCAAGUGUUUAGCUUAAAAGAGACUCCAGGAAAAUAUUCAGCCAAUAAGACAUGAGUUCAAGAAGUCUUGGAGGCCAAAAAUAGAAGAAGACUUCUGGUGAAGCUACAAGGCUAUAGAGCAAGUUUUGAUUCUGGACGCAAGCAGUUAGACUAAACAGAGGUCUGAUGUCAAGGGAGGCUAGCUACCAGUUUGGUGACUUGUAUCAAACAUGUAGCUAGGAUACUUAAGCAUAUAGCCAUUUUCACAGCCAGUAUUCAUGAGUUAUGAGAGGUAAGUUGGAAGUUGUUGUAGGUGCAUGAUAUGUGGUAUGUAGGAAGACCCUCAAAUUUGUCUGGUUGUCCCAAAGAAUACCAAACAUUUGGAUCAAAUUGGAAGGACACACAAAAACUUCAAAAAAUAAAUGAACAAUACAAAGAAACUGAACCUCUUUACGAUCUCUAGUGGCAUUCUCCUUUGCUAGAGGUUGUCCAUCUAGUUGUAUGUUUCUCUUGAUAACAUUGUUCGUUUUCUGUAUUCGCUCAACAUUCUCAACACCAAGCUUCAAUUGCGAGACUGAACCCAACCGAACUUGGUCCCCUCCAACUUUAACUUUUUUCUUCUUCUUUCUAUCAGCUUCAUCAUCUGCAGAAUCAACUUUAUCAAUCAGAAAUGGGAAAGUUUGUGGUUCAAUAUUUACAUCAGUGAAAAAGACUUGUAACUUCUCAUUUGAUGCACAUUUUCUUUUUACUUUAGAAACCCCAGAAGACAACUUAAAACUACAACCACAUGAAAUUGUUGAGUAACUUGGACCAACUAAAGUGAUUCCUGCUUUGUGUCUAUCAGAGGACAGAAACAUGUCCAGAUAUCACAACUGUUCGACAAGUCAUCAAUUCAUGUUACAAUUUGCUUGUCAAGGGAUUGGACAACUCACAAGGUACAAAUAUUUCUCUGGGUUUAUUCUUCUAUUAACUUCUUUUAGUUGGGUUGAUUAAUUCUAGGAAUAAUAUAAGACCACCAACAAACCAGAAGCAUCAUAUUCUUCCCUGCAUUAACCUGUUGAUCAAGGUCCUAGAAUGAAGCAAAAACAUUGAUCUAUCCAAUACAGAGUAUAAACAUCACUCAGCACAUCCAGAACCACACACAGAGAGGGACCCUGCAAAACUGACUCAGAAAUUAAAGGACAACGACAAGAUGAAACCAUUUAUAUCCUUAUUGUACUGAAUGUAUUUGGUCAUCGAGGCAUUCCAUAUAAACUCACCACCACUUUGAGUAAAUAAUCGUACUGAAGAGCUGUCUAAAAUCUUACAUCUGUAUUUUAUAUGACCAGCAGCUAUUAAGCUGCAAGAAGAAUGAUAACUAGAAACAGUAAAAGUGAUUAUUACAUACCAUCCAUAAGCAUUCUGCACAACUCAGCUGCUUCAGCAGCCUCAUCUUCAAUUUCCUCCUCUGCCUGUGCUUGGAAAGGUCGCCUUCUCAUCUUAAUCCCCUUAACCCCAUCAAUGAUAUCAUUCUUGGAAACAUUAUUACCAUCUUCACCAUCUUCACACUCUUCUGCAUCCAGAAGAUUUUCCAAAUCCCCAGCAAAGGAAUCUAGGUCACUGUUGGCUUCAGAGUCACUUUCGUUUUCUUCACCCUCAACAGCAGAAAGACUUUGAACUUGUCGAUCCCAUAUUUCCUGACAUUUUUCCCUCGUCUGCUGCUGCAGCUGCAUAAACGACAUUCUUUGGCCACGAGCAUACUUGCUGAUUGUUGUUGGAUCUACCUUGACCCCUGAUGCAGCUUGCUCACUUGAAAGCUUGCGAAUCAUAGCAAUUCGAUGCCACCUAGUCUGCUUAGCUAUUUGCUCCUCUGGUACAUUGAAUUUGAGGAGAACCUACAAUAUGCAUGCCAACAUCAUCUCAUGUACAUCAAAAUAAAUAACCCUUUGUUUAGGGACAGAAGACAAAAACAUGCAAUGUGUCAGUAUUACAUGCAAGACUUAUGGUUCUAGGAUUGCAUUUAUGAGUUUUUUUUUUUUUUAAAUCAAUGUGUAUGCUGGUUUUAUGUCAGAAAUAUAAAAGAGUCAAAUACCAUGCAAUGCCCGGCACAAGCACAUCUUUAUGGUAGUCCAAUAGUAUGAGAACAAUAUGAACAAAGGAGAAUUAGGAAAUUUCACCUUUUCCAUGUUUGUUUCCUUGAACAUUUAAAGAAAAAGUCCAACUUAAGUUUAACAAUGUCUCUAUGUACUUUUGAUCAAAUCAAAUGGCUAACCAAACAAGAAAAUGUUGAUUAAGUUAAGUUUUUAAUAUCAAAGAAACUAAUCAGAAUCAAAUUCAGCCUUGUACAAGUAGCUAGAAAUGUCUCUUUUCAGUGCUCAACCAAUUCACCACAGACACGCUUCGUUUUCAAAUCAGUAAGAAAUUGAGAAAAUUUUUAAUUUCUUGUAGAUUUGAGGUGCAUAAAUAAUGAGAACAUUUCAUAGUUAGUUCACUCAUUGGUUAUCAGCAAAGAUCAUUCUUGGCGAAAAAUCAACACACCUCUCGUGCAGCUUCCAUGCUCAAUCUGCGUAGAUCGGCAUCGGUACCGGUUACUGUUGAACCUUUACCAACAACUGCCUUUUUCUUCACCAUUGUAUUUGAUACAGGUGCCUUAGGAGUAUUACGAACAAAACUGAAACCUAGCCCACGUCCAGAUGGAUCACCAACACCUGUAAUUUCCAAACGUUCAAUAUUUUCCCUGUCCUGCAUCAACAGCAGACAUGGGAAAAUUCAGUGAAGUCAUAGUGCCGAGAUUAAGUACCUAAAAAGGUCAUUGAAAACAACUUUUGGGUCAUAUUUCAUAGCAACAAGAACUGGAAUCCUCCCAAUGGAUACCAUACAUAAUUUAUAAGGUCACUUGUACAUCUGUCAUAUUGUAAAAGAUAGCAUCUUUAGAAAAAGUACAUGACGUAUGGAUAUCAUUACCUGAUUUGUGCAGGCAACAAAGUUGCUACUCAAGUUCCAUGGUGUUAUUUGCAGCUCCCUUUCAAUAUGAGAUGCAGCAGCUAACGCAAUAGCUUCAUCUGGAAGCUGAUUCAUUGCAGACGACAGGCCUGUUGGUGAAGUUAACCUAGUAAUUCCCAACCGCUUGAGCCUGUACAAGCCAGCUUGCAUGCUUUCAUAGGCACAAACCUAUUCUCAGACAAGUGAAAAGGAUGCAAUUGUUUAAGGACAAAGAAUUAGGAACAAAGAGGAAGGUAGAAGGUUAACUACGAAAAAAAGAAUUGAUGCAGCCUAUUAGCGGAAAACAGAAUUUUCCCCUAUUUUGGUCUUCUAUAAGCACCCCUGUUCAAUAAUAUUAUCAUUUGUUGAAAUUGAUUAGGUUUGCUUCCAACAAGCAGUCAUUUUGGUGAAGGUAAAUGAAUUCCUCCAACAUAUGAAGAAAACCCAUUUCCAUCCAGCUUUUCUAUUUCAUGCACCACAAGAAGUUACCAUCUGGAGAAAUGAAAGAAGACGGAUAUAUCCAUUCUGUCUUGCAGUGGUUUUAAGUCGAAUCACAGCAUGCUAGCUUGGACAAAACCAUAUAAUAUUUACCUUUGAAAUUAGAGUGAAAGAAGAACAGGGACAUCCUUAAAGUAGAGAGAAGGGAGAUUGUUCAUUAGCAACUGCUCUUAUAAUCCGAUGACCAGCAAGUGGAAACCAGAUUGUAGCAAAAUUCUCAAUAGUCUUAGAUGCUUUUUACUACAAUACCCACUCAAGUUCUAUGAAAUGGACACUUGACUGGCUGAAAACAAGUUAAAUACAAACUUAAUUUCUCGACUCUGGUCAUUGCAGAAUGUCAAGGGGGUGACUUUUCAUGCUCGCCUCCAACUAUUUUCGUAAAAAUCACAAGAAGCAUUAGAAGCCUAUUUCCAGACCAACCGCAUCAAGGCACACAUUCAAAAGCCAAAAGAGGAUGCCCCAAACAUCAGUUGAGCUGGCUAUCCGAAUGUUACAAAUAAGUAAAUAAAAGUCAAAAGUAAUUGUAAAUUCUAUCCUAGCAGAUAAAUAUUGGAAUCUAGCAAAGCUCAAUUUACUUCAUGUUCAAGAGUGACUCUAAUAACACCAGUACAGGUAAAGGAGGAAAAACAAACUCAAUAAACAAUAUAUUGCUUCAGGCAAAUACGAUUAAAUCAAAUUUUAGAAAAUCAUGUUUAUACAGCUUUUCAGUCAAUACAUCAGCAGAUGUGACGGAUAGCCUUCCAGGAGAAGCGCUAAAACAUCCCAAACUUCAACAUGUCCCACUCUUAAAUGGACGUUGAACUUCACGAUGUUUUCAGACAAAAUACCAUCAAUUUAAAAAUAUAAAGCUCAAAACAAACAUAUGAUCCACCCAUCACACUCAACUGGGGCAAACCAUUGAUCCGAAAACUCAAAAAUAUCUGUGACAAAACACUCUUGAUCACAUGCUCAAUACAUACAUGCAGAUCGUAUGUUGUAUCCUACAUGUAUAAAGGAAGAGGAAUAUGGAUAAAAUUUGUUAACUAAGAGCUUACAUUCUCUGGUGUCACCAUCCUCCUUAGUUCCUCCUCCAAAGGAAUGCGGAAAUUGCGCCUCAUAGCCCAAAGAAGCUGUCCAUUUGAUCCUCUCUGGUAGAUUGCAAAUUGAGGUUAACUAUUUGCACAUACACGACCACAAAAGAUUAAGAAGAAAAGAAAAUAAUUCAAUGACAUAUAGCAGCGUCAGUGUGAGCUUCUCCAUGCAGUAACGCACUUAGCAAUAUAUUUACCAAAAAAUUCUCAUUAUAGAAAGGUCAUAUUUUUUCUAUUAAAAGAGGAUAAAUAUACCCAUGAUAGAGAAGAUGCUGUCAACAAAUUUCUAGGCCUAAUGAUGCCUAAUUCAAUUGGUACUUGUUACUAAUGAAUGAAGAAGUUCGAAUUCUGAAUCAGUUAGCUAUCACAUAACCUACACAAUAGACCAUACAUGGGAUAGAUGUACAAUUCACAACUUUCAAAAAGUGAGUAAUACAGAGAGUAUUGCUAGAGAUUAAUAUCAUAGAAGCUGAGUCUUUUAAUCACUAACAGUCCAAAGCAAAUGACUUAGUUAAGUUACUUCAUUCUUACAAUCAAGUUCUUUCCCUUUGUCAACAAAAGGACACCAGUUUAAAACCUAUAAUCCUCAAAAACCGGUACGCUAUUCCCUUGUUUCCUUGAAUUUAUAAACCUGAACGUCUCUUUUAACUUCUUUUUUCUAUUUUCACUCUUCUUUAAUGAGCAGAGUCGGGGGAGUGGGAUUGACGUUGAGGUUGUCGGAUUGGUAACCAAAUAAUUCGAUUAGUUCCGUAAACUAGAUUCAAAGGUAUAAUACCUGCAAAUCAGCACAAUGUUUUAGCCUUUUCCGAAGAAAUGCUUCUGAUAGGCUGGGAAACUGUGCAGACAACUCAUCAGCGCGUAUAGAAGGCCGUAACCCACGCUUCUCAGCAGCAGAAAACUCACGGUACAUAUACACCAUCAACCUGUUCAUAAUGUAUGUUUGAACACUUUUUGAUCCAGGGGACAUUACCUCGAUGUGAGGCUCCUACAUAGUUGACAUGAAACAAGAUAAAAUUAAGAAUUGAAGUUUUGCUAUGAUUUUUUAGGUGAAACAAGAAAUAGAAUUCAAAAUGUGCACAACAGAGGUUAUUCCCAAACUUAACUUCACUUCUAGCUGUAUUGUUCCCUCAGACAUAUAUCAAGCUUUAAUAAUAAGAUAGUCAGAUUACAAUAACAAAAUGAAUAUAGAUGCAAUGAAUACUUCUCCAGAUCACAAAAGCUACAGAAAACAACCCCAAAGUCAAUAAAAGAAAAUUUCUGGUUUUUCCUUCAACUCAUUUAACCAUUACGAAAGCCAUCAGAAAGCUGCAGCUGAAGACAAAGAUGCUGAAAUCAAAAGCAAGACAAGUAAGACCACCUAAGCAACUUCUAAAUCAAGUACUGCACAGAGAAAUGAUAUGAAGUGUGUGACUAAUUAAGCUCCAACGAAUUUGUUCUCCAGAAAACAAAAUCUGUAGAACUUUAAGACACCUGAAGAGAAAAACAAAACUGAUAAAGGCAGAAAAAAUCCUUUAUCAUGCACUUUCUUUUUCUUUUUUCUUUUCUUUUUCCACAACUAUACUUAUGCUACUACUUUCAUUUCUUUGCCACUAGACCAUAUACAUUCCUUUCCCCACUCUUCCCUUCAUUCAAACCCAACUUGCUCUAUCUAUGCAAGUACUAUGCAGGAAUUUAAUGAUUAGCAUUGACCUUGAAGUUGCAGUUUUCUAUCCUCUGAUUCUUUUGAAUCAAUAAAUUUAUAUCAUUCAGAGCCAUAUACAGAAUUUUCACAUCUUUUAAGUAUUCAUUAGCUACAAACAACCAAUUUUCGUAGCAGAAAGAAUAACAGGAGUUUCUUCUGUACUCCUCUCUCAAAAUGGGUGAGACCAGCCUUCAAACCUCUCGUCAACCAUGUGCAAGAAUAGUUAUUCUAACAUGCAAACAAAAAUUUAAAUAUGUAGUGGAGGAAGAGGGAACAUGAAAGGCAACUCUGUGUGUGUGUGCGCGUGUGUGAGAGAGAGAGAGAUAUUCCAUGUAUACAGAGACAAGCAGAUCAAACAAUUUUCGCACGAGCAUGUACCUAUGCCUGUCAUCAAGCAACAAAUCCAAGGUAACACAAUAGAUUUGGUUGAAAUGUAACCUUUCCGAGAUAUUUAAAGAAAAAUAAAAGAUAAAGAAAAUCUUUUUAACCUGUUGUCCAACAACAUCAAUCCUGUCAAUUCGUCUUAUUGAAAGUUUUCCUUUUGCAGUUCGGACCAAUAGAAAAUCAGCUGAUGACACCUUAUGCUGAUAUAUAGGUGCUCGAUACAUAUUGGUUUCGAGAGAUGAUUGACUGCAACCAGGUUUUAUGUCCCCAAGAAAAGGGGAUUUAUCAGCAGGAUCUAGGAUUAAAACACUCCCCAAUCCGUUAUUCCCAUUUCGCAUUAAGUUCCCUGUUUGAUCACCAGGGGCAGACUUUUGGUAGUAAGUGCACAGUCUUGCACCCAUUCCCACAUUUCCCAGGAGUAAAGGUCUUUCUUCACAGUAUCUGCCAGUAACACACCAAAGAAAGAACAUCAGAGAGAUGCAAUUAUUUACAGAAUUUUAUGACAUGUCAAACAUUUAUUGCAAGACACGUACUCUAGAGGUUUCAGCAGAGCCAAAUUUUACAACUGUUAAAGAACACCCCCACCCCAACUUCUCUCCAUGCUCAGACCAAAAAAAAGAAAGAUAAAAUAGUAAACCAUUUCACAAUGACAAGCCUAUAUUUAAUAGAAAUAGUAAACCCUCUCCCUGUCAAGGAUCCCUAUGUAAGGGUUUGACAAGUCUCCAUUUUGCGACUUAAACACAUCCCAUCAGCACAAGCACGAGAAAUAGACCUCUGGAGGGCUCCAAGCAAUAAAUUUGUUUCAAAGAUGAACCCAUCAAAUAAGGACAGAAAAAUGAAUGCUCAAUCUUUCAAUCUUUCCUUCACUCUUAAGUUCUUCACAAUGAAUGCUUAAUAGCAAUGCAUGUGGCAGAACAUGUUUAGAGUUCAAAAACUCCACAUUUCCAAUUUGGUGUGCUACAUUUACAUGUUAUGAAACUUAUUCUUAAGUUCCAAUAGAAGAAUCACGUGAAUAACAUACUUAACCAUCUUCAUAUAAGAACCUUGGGAAAACGAUGUAUUAACUCUGAAACAACCAAGACAUGGCACCAAUACCUGCAUUACUAGUUCUUCCUCCUCCAUGACAAUUUUAUAUGCUUAAACCAUAAAAAAACAAACCAUCACAAUUACUCUACAAAGUCUUAUAGUGUUUACUAACAGAAUGUUAGACAAGGAGGUGGCAACAUUUAAUAUAACGCAAACAGCAACAUAAUCAUUGAUUCAGCACCUCAGAUAUACUUUUCACUAUUGUAAACGUGAAACAAAAUUACAGUCAAGGUGAAGACGUAUUCUGCCCCACAGUUCCAAUAAACAAUACUUUAUUGUGACCCAGAUCUUCACAUCUAACAAAUCACAAGCUGAUCUAAUUACAUGGAAUAGAAUUAAUCUUGACUGAGAUUGUUGGACUAUCUUUUGUAUUCAUAAGGGACUGGUGUAUAGAUGAUAAGCAAGAACUUUUAAGACUUACUCCAUCAGAAAGACAUGACCAUCCUUUACUGAAAGAUCGGACUUCUUCUUAAAUGCCCCAGGAGGACGCAAAGACUUGUUCUCACCAGGGAUUUUUUGUGCCCUGGGUAGUAAAUGGAUUUUUGUACGAACAAGGUGCAACAAGGAGUUUGGUCGCACAUUUUGUGCAGCAAGAGUCUUGUGGUCUUCUAGCUCCUUUCCAGAAUAAACCACUUUCACUGGCUCAGACAAUUUAAAAUCUACAAGCAAGAGAUAAAACAAUAUUUCCAUAUUCUAUAGCAAACGAAGAACAACUAGAAUUUAACAACGAAAUUUAGUAACACCAGAAGCAUAAUAAAAGUGAGACCUAGCUUCUUUGAAGCUUUAGCUUUAACUGAAGAGAUGGUCUCCUCGCCAUCCACAUGAAGUUUACAUCCUUUGCCUCCCAAACUCUUUAAUAUGACCUUCAUAGGUCCUUGCGUAGACAGCUUCUCUUGUUCUUUCAGUGCCACCUCAUUAUCAUGAGGAUACCAUAAAGCUUUUGGUCGAUGGAAAUUAGCAAUAUCUUUACUGAAGGUACAUCAAAAAAUUCACAAUAAGCAGUAGCAGACUAACACGCACUCAAAGCCCUAAUACGAAUAGGAAACAGAGCAUCCUAUGCAAGUAGAAGACAAAAAUAACCUCACAUACUGGAUAAGAGAUGACAUUUUAACCAAAAAAACAACAUGAACUAAGACAAUAAGUUCAAAAGAAGAUUAGAACAGGAAAAGUAGACAAGUAAGAAAACUGACAAAGGGUCAAGAUUGGAACUUAAUAAGACGAUCAACUUGCUGAAUAAACAGCCAAGCCUCAAGCAUAAAAAUUUACACAUGUUAAACAAAGUAAAACAGACCAUCUAUGGUAAAAGAACUACAAAAAGAAUAUGGCACUCAACCCUUACUUGCUUAGCUUAACUUUCAUCGUCUGCAGCUUAAGUGUUGGAAUUGAAUGCAGAACUUUGAGACCAUGAGCUGUACGCUUCUUCAUAUGUGAUUUCACCUGCUGGGAAGAUUUCCUAUUUGAGUAAAAUUUGUCAUUUGAGAUGUUAAACCUACCUCCUGAAAGACCUCCAUGACUAUGUAGCUCGACAGAGUCACCAGUACUAGGCUUGACUGAACGGGUUAUAAUCAUAGCACCAGCAUGAAGCCUAAGAUGCUUACUGUCCUUAUUAUCUUGAAUUUCAAAAAGCAUUUGUUCAUCUCGGAAAUCUAAUAUCAGCUUCGGCUUUGAAAUGGGCUGAUUUGAAUCCCAAAUUAUAUUGUCCAACCAAGAUCCUUCCUGCAGAUCUCCGUUCUCUAACAUGAGCCUAUUAAAACGGCUUAUGACACCAUUACCUAGAACUUUUUCAGAGCCUCCUUCAUGUCCAAGGUCAGUAUUAUUUGGAUCAUCUUGAUCAAAUCGAGACUCUAACCUUAAAAGUUGAGGAUGAUACAUUCUUUCACAGUAAGGCAGUUUUGAAGGUUCAGAAAGACUUCCUGAACCAAAGGGCUCUGGUGAUAUGGAAAAACCAUGACGAAAAGGAUGUUCAUGUUCACAACGUUCUCUUUCAAGAUCUGACACCAGAGGGUGAGUAUCGGCCUCGAAAUUCUUAUCACCCAGUACGUCAGAAUCAGGUCCAGACAUCUCACAACUCUCUUCAAUACAGGAACUCUGUGCGGGAGAAUUAUCCCAAAUUAUCCUAUCCUCCCAGUUUAGUUGAUCAAGAGGGUAAAACUUUGGACAAAUAGGUGAGUUCCACUCUGGAGGAAGCAUCACUGGCAAAUCUUCUUUAAAUGGUUCAGAACUCUGACAAGAAUCUUUUCUACACUGGUCAACUUCUGCAUCAAUUUUACCAUCUUCCUGGAUAACACCAAACUUCCCCGAUCCUAAAUCAUCGUCCAUAAAUGUUAAAACAUUGUGUUGAGCCACUUGGGCUUGUCUCGUACCAGACACAUCUAAGCCGGAUCCCUUCAAGAAUGUUUCCUCAUCUUCUUCAACAUUUUCUGGAGUAUCCAUAGUCUUGAAUUUAUCUGAAAACAUUCAACAUGAGGAAAGGACCAAUGGCUAAACUGGAAGUCCAUAAAGAGAUGCAUAAGGUGAAUAAGCGCAAGUGAUUAAUAUAUUACUGCCAUAAAAUUUAUUAGCAGCAAUAUACUCGAAACAUUCAGGUACAGAAAAUAUAUACCUCUAGGAACAGGAUAUUUGCGCUCCCUUUUGUCAGACUUCUUUAAAGGCUCAUAAAGGCCAAAAAUUUCUGAAAAACGUAGAAUCACCAAUCCAUCUUCAACACAAAGAAUAGGCAGCAGAGUUGAAUCGUUGCCCCCAGAUGGCUCCUCUAAGCCCACUGGCACCUCCUGAUAAAUUAGUAUCAACUAAGAAUGAGGAAUAUGGCAUACUAAUAAAAAGAUAAUUAACAGUAAAGUCUUAGAAAAAAUUAAACAGACUGACAACAAUAAGCUUAGAAAUCUGAAAGCAACUAACACCACUAAGGUCAAAACCAAUCAUGACUUCUGAUUCUUUAUUGGCAAAAGACGUAUGUUAAUUCUAACAAUUCUACCAAUACCAUCAGCUCACAAAGCUUUAAAUAAAAAGAAAAUGUCAUACUAAUUAUCCUCACAGGAGAACAAGGUGUAAAAGACAGUUUUAGCACUAAAGAACAUGUCAAGAGUUUGUGUUCCUAUCAAAUUUAAAUACAAGAGGUUUUUCAAAAAAAAAAGAAAAAGAAAAAACUCUAUUGGGAACAAGUUGGGGCAUAUAAUACAAACCUCCUCAGAAUCUACAAUAUCAGCGGUCAAGAAUUCAGAUUCAAGCGCAUCUUCAAAUGCAUCCCCAGAUGAAGCAUCUUCAUCAAUCUUUUCCCCUUGAGAAAGGAGGUUAAGACGAUCAUAAAACAUAUACUAUGGGUAAACCAUUUCAUAGUUAGGCACUAUAUCUUUCCAAAAAAACUCCUCAUUAGAACCAUCAGACUUGAAAAGAGAAUAUAAAUUAGUGCUAAAGGUAAGAACCCAGGAUAAUAGAUCCAUACAUGCUAUUUAUACAGCAAUCCCAACCUCAUAUGAUCUACGAUUAGGACUCUCAAUUACCUGAUUCAGACGCACAUGAAGAUUAAAACUGAAAAGAAAAACUCAAAAUGACACCUGUGCGUACAAAAAAAUUAAUCUGCGCUUAAGAGUCGAGUCUGUUUUCUUAAGACUUUACUCCAUGUUUACCCUUCAGUAAGUGCAACAUUGACACAGAUUAAACAACUGCAGAACUGCUAUGAAAUUUAAAUGAAAGGGAAAAGCCACAUAGCUUUAUGAUAACAUCUUCUGCUCUUAAUAUAAAAAUAUCAUGGCUGACCAAAUAUAUGGUAUAUCAAUGCUAAUAUAAGAAAUCCAUGGUGCAUACUACUUCAAAGGUAUGACUACUCUUGGUUUAUUCAAGGUCUUAGUCAUCAACUCCCAUUGCAUCCUGCUAAUAUUCAUCCACCACAUAAACUAUUACCAACAAAUAAGGAAAUUAAUAUAAGGUGGCAGUAGCCUGUUUUUUCCGGGCUGAUUGUUGAUGAGCUAAAUGAUUUUAAGCAGAAUUCAACACCAUAUCUGACAAUUUUCCUGUAGCUUUACUCUCUCUCUCUCUCUCUCUCUCUCUCUCUCUCUCUCUCUCUCUAUACACACACACACACACACACACACACACCUGUUUCUCUCUUCGUGUAAUACCCUUGUAAACAUGAUAGUACUCAGGUCCCCUCUCUCCCUCUCUCUCUGUGGAACGCACUUGUACUCAUGAUACUGUUCAGGUUAACAGACUAACCAUGGAAAAAGAUUAAAUCACAGUGAGUUUCCUCUCCAAUGAAGCAGCUUAAGGAUUCAAAAGCCACUGAAUAGGCAAAGAUACAUCAACAACAGGGGACCCAGAGAUAGAGAAAUAGCUAAAACAUGAUAUCUACACCCAAGUUCAAUAAUAAUGGCAACAAGAACAGAUUUAGGAAGUUCUACAAAAGAAGGAAAUGUUGCAAAAGUUAUCUUUGUUUCAGUCUAAGAAGCAUCCGUAGGUGAAUGUUCAAGAGUCAGCCAGGGGUGGAAGUCUAUUGGUUCCUCAUGGGUGGAUCCAUUGGUCAGCCACAUAGCAACAGCUCUAGGGGACCGCCUUGGCCACCAGUUGAUAAAAUAAGGCUGACUAGUUGGUAGACCAUUUUACUGUAAAUACUGGUGUAGGCCUCUUAAUUUGGCAUGCCCUGAAUAACAAAAUUUUCAAAUGAGUACCUUCCUCAGUCUCAGGUGAGUCGAAUGAUCUCUUCUUCCCUUCUCCCUUAGUUCUCUCCCUUCCUACUUUCUAAAACACUCUUCUUGGCUACAAUUUUGACCACCAAACAACUAUCUAAACUCUGCAACCCUUCUAAUUUCUAGGCAACGUACUUUAGCACUUAAAACACUCUAGCACUAAAAGUCACAGGCACAAAUUUCCAGAAAAAGGACUUCCAUGACACUCUAAGAAAGAAAACAUUUGACAUUAAAAUUUCAGAAAAGUAUUAAUGCAGAAAACUGGACAAACCAAAUUACAGAGACGUGUCAAGAAUGUAGCAGAAAAUAUGCAUAGAUUACUAAUCAAACACUAUUGUUGCGGCUUACUAUAGGAAAAUUUAAAUUAACUACCAACUUCAAUACUAGCUUGUUCCUAACACUAGAAAGCUUCUAGACUUAAGUCUAUAGCAUGAAAGGAGUUGUAUCAUCAACAUGGCAUUAAUGAACAGAAGCUGACCAAAAACUCUUGUUAAGAUUGACGAAUUUUAAAUAGACUCCAUUUCUAGGCACAUAUUAACAUAUGUGCCUGCACUAUCCACACCCCCAAAGAAUAUCACACUGCAUACACCCAUCCGUCCUCCGGACAUUAACUUUCUAUAUACAGCACAUUGUCUUCAACCAGGUGAUGCUCCAUCAUGACACUAGUUUUUUUUUUUUUAAGUUUUUGGCUCAAGAACUGAAAAGCUGAAAUGAAAUGCCAAUUUAUGGGUAUUGGUACCUUAAGCAACACAAGGGUGCUGCGGAAGUAAUACAAUAGGAAAGUACAUGAUUACCUCAUAACCAGAGAGUUCAAAAAGCUGAAAAGCACUCGGCCAAGAGGGAGUCAUCAACACUACUACAGUACAAGAAUCAAAUAUCUAUAUCCACUCACAACAACUUCUUGUGCUUCUACCACUGAAGGAAGACAUACUACUGAGCACUAAACCCAUACCUGGCAACUUUAUUAGCAAACUUAAAGUUCCUUUUUUAGCCAUUAAUCCACCAACUACAUACUCAAAAAAGACUACAUGCAGGGCCUUCGUAGAUGAAUAAAGAGAAACAGCUAAGCAUUUAGUUUCUAAGCCCCCGAAACAAAACCUGGGACAAAUUAGACUCUAAUAUUCACAUUCCGACAUCAAGAAAAAAGACAAUCUAAACUAUAAAUAACUAAAAGACAGCAUAAAGGCAUAUCCAAAUCCUUUAAAUGCAACACUCAAAAAUUGAUAGAUUGACAAUGAUUCAUAAUUAAACCUGCUGAAAGUAUGGAUUUCACUUCAAUAUUGCUUUCGGCCACCUCGUCCUUCUUUUCUGAUUCAUCAUCCUCGUCAUAAUUUUCAUCAUCAAAGACAGAAUUGAUAUUCCCCAAAGUACUCAUUGAUAUUUCUUUAGAAAAAUAGUCCUUUCUUGGCAACAAAAAAUCCUCUUCUGUAGCUGCUUGGACCUCCGGCCCUUCAUAUUGCUCCUCAAUAUCUUCAUAAUCAACAGCAUCUUCUGCCUUUUUAUCAUAGUCUAGUUCUCGCAAACAAGAAGAACAGGAAAAAGCACUAAUCAGAAUCCAUCACACUCAGAAAUGAAAUAUUGUGCUCACCACAGUAAUCAAACCCAAAUUGGCUACCAAUGGAGUUAUGAAAUAGUUAUCUAAGAUACAUGCAGCAGAUUACAAGAAUAUUAUUAUAACCCAAGUGCAUUUCAGCUUGGAAGCUAUCAUACAUAUAUCUACCAAAUGAAAUUUUACUUUUAUAAAAUCCUUGAAUUAAUACAGAAGAAAAACCUUAUGGAAAAACACCUGAUCCACAACAAAGCAGAAAAUGCAUGAGACAAAAAAUUAAAUUAAAAAAUGAUGAUGACAAGCUUUAGAUACUCUGGAAAUCAAAAGUGAAAGACAAACCCCAAGAACUUAAGGGGAUGAGGAUUUUGCAGUUAAUUGGUCAACCUCUUUCUUCUGCUUUUGGUAGAUCUGAGACAUAAUUUUGGACUAAAAUUGACAAUUGGAGUUGAAAAGAUUUUUGACUUUUCCCUUUUCAAUUUCUCUUUUUUUUUUGGUUGGGGGGGUGGUGGUGGGGGUGGGGAGAACAGGGGUUGGUUCUAACUUCAUAUAUUGCCACCAGUGACCUUAUGAAUUAGAAUUACUAGCUCUGUUCCCUGAUAAAUUAAAUGGACAAACAUUGCAGGAGUACCAAAAUUCAUUAACCAGUAUUUCCUGGGGCAGAAAAUCACCUUGUUCAGCAGCAUCAGAAGGUGUUUGUGGUGUUUUCACUGACAACUGGUAUUCAGGGAAAAGGGAAAAAAUGGCAUCAUCAGAUAGAUGUGCAUUAUAUAACAUAGGUUUUCUCACUUCAAAGUAAGAGCCUCAACAUACAUCUAUAUCUGUCAGGGAUGGACCAAGCUUGUCUGCCAGAGCUCCAAGAUGCUCCUUUGCCUCCUGAAAAGUCAGUAUCCUUGAAGUCACUGUAAGUGAAUACCAACACAGAAAGAAGUUUAAAAAAAAAAAAAUUUAAAAAGAAGAAAGGUCAAGAUUGACUUACACCAGGCAUAUGUUCAAGUAUAUUUACAUGACCUGAUCAUUUUUUAUACACCCAGGUUUUACAAAAUCCAAAAUUAAACUACCUGGUACCCGUAUGAGCUUUACAUUUACAAUAAUUUGAAUUUCACAAAGCACUUCACUCAUGUGAUCAGAAAAUUGCUCUCAUCCUCCUCUUAGAAUGGUAUCUUUAGGCAUGCUUAUGGUAACUUCAUCUUGACCGAAAAACCUCUCAAUUAGCGUGAGAUGUGUUCUCAUACAAGGACUUUAAUUUGAUCAAUUGUCUUUUAUUUUUGCUAUUUUUCACAUUCUGUUGUCUGCUUGAAUGAAAAGUACUUCAAUGCGAAUCAGGAUACCCUCUUUUCUUUUCUGAAAAGCGGAAAUAAUCUUUUAAUAUUAAUAAAAUUAUACUUAUAAAAAAUGUUGUGAAUUAUAUUCAUGUCUAGACUUGUUUGAUCCUAUUAAUUGAUACAGGCUCCAACAGUUGUCUUCAUUUUUGUGAUACAGUUAAGUAAGCAAAGAGUGAUUUUGGAAACAAAAGAAUGUAGCUACAAGGGGGUCAUUUCAAUAAAUUAACUAUAGAAAACUACCACAAUAGUAACAGAGGGGCUUCUAGAUAAUAGUUUCAGAAAUUAAAAGGGUGUUCGUGCCACUUUUCGAAACCUCAAGGGUGUAAAUGAUCUUUACAGUACUAAAGAGUGCAGACAAAAAGGAAUGACUUGAAAGAUAAAUAGUUCCGUAGACCAAGUAGAUCUCAGGCUUUGUGUGUGUGUGUGUGUGUGUGUGUGUUGGGGGGGGUGAUCAUCAAGAUUUUAUUCCUCUUACACUGUAUCACAUAAAAAAGUUUAGUAUGUUUAAACUUAUUCCAUUUAUAUUCCGACAGGAAGGAGAGAGGAAAAAAGCUUUGGUUGGUUUUGGAGAUCAUUGAAAAAAGAUUUCAGUUAGAAAACAGGAACUCAAGAUACAUGGAUAGCAACCAUGUACAUGAAGCCACCAUAUCAGAUCCAAGGAAAUGUAACGAUAACACAUGAGUCAGAUAUUCACAUGAGUUGCUGGGAAGUGAAAUGAUGAUGAUAUCAUCAAGUAGCCGCUUUUAGGUUGCUCUCGUACGAAUUUGUUAGAACUUACAACAGCAGUUUUCUGCAUGAACAUAUAUAUAUAUAUAUAUUAAUAUAAUUCAGAAGAAGUUCCAAGUGAAUCAGGAGAUGGUCCGUCCGUAACAGGAUUGGUAAGUAGUAUGAGAAAAACACAAGAAGGUGGCUUAUUGUCAACUACUUUUUCAUCUAAGCUUCAGUCUCCGUCUGCUGAAGGUCCAGACCAAUAAUGUCAGCAACACUUCAUCAUGCAUGUACAGUCAACAUCAUGAGUGUCGCAACAGAAGGGCCGAGCAGAAUUAGCUUGUAAUCAUAUAUAUAUAUAUAUAUAUAUACUAGUUUUUUAGCCCUGACGCUAUGCGUCAGGUAGCUGAGACUCGUUAUUUUGGUGUUAUGUUUGUGUGUGUUUUUUUUUGUUAGAUAUAAUAGUCAUGUGUAUGAGUGUAUUUUUUUCCUAAUUACACAAAUAAAUAUGACUUUGAAAUCAGGUUAUCUUACAUUCUUAAUAUAGUAUUAAUCAGUAAGUAAUGCUUAAUAUUAGGUAGAACUAAAAGGCAUAUGAUUAUACAUGUAAUGUGUAGCCUUGCUUAUUAGUCACGUUACUUCUCUAAGACAAGCAAUUUGACAAUUUCCAUUUUUUUGACACUUUCUAUUUGCUAGUACUUCACAUUUAACAAUCUUUUAUAGAAGAAAGAAAAGAUAAAGAAAGACAAUUAUAAAAUGGGUUUGUCAUUUUCUUUUGUUUGCUAGACUUGAAUGAGCAUUCAAACAUAUUUAAAAAUAUUUUCAAACCAAUGUAAAAUUGAAUUAAUAAUUUUUGUAUAUUCAGUAGUUUUUUUUUUUUUUUUGGAGAUUUUGAUGAUUUUGGUUUUGAUAAUUUGUAUUUAUUGAAUCAUUUUUUUCAUUCUCAAAAGAAAAAAAAUUGGACAUACUGUAACAGUUUAAAAAUUAUAAUCUAUUUCUUAAAUUGCAUUUUUUUUAAAGAAAGUUUAUCCUUUUACCAAAAACAGAAUGAACAGAACCAAGAACAAAAUGAGAGGAAAUUACUGACCGCCAAAAUGUUCCCAUCCAAGAGGCCUACGCGGACAGAAGAGCAGGAGUGAAAGUGGUAAUUAGAAGAGAGCAAGGAAGAGAGAGAGAAGGCAAAGCAAAGAACGUCCACCGAUUCCAAUGAGGCUAACUGCACCCACGUUUCCCCAAGCCACCGAAAAAUCAUCCAACCAACAAACACCCCCAGAGUUCAUGAAAAUUACGGAGUAACCGGACCAUUUGCCCACGCGGACAGGAGUGAAUUUCCAACAAAACCACGCCACCCAUCAGCAAAAGACCAAAACGCCCCUCAAGCUCACACAAAUCACGGCAUAACGGUCCAUCGGUACUGUUCACAAGCUAUUCGUGCUUUAUAUAUGUACUAGUUUUUUCUGCCCUGACGCUAUGCGUCAGAUAGCCUGGACUGUUUUUUUUUUUUUCUGCUGUGGUAUAUUUUUAUUACUUUUGUGUGUGUAUGUGUGUUUUUUUUUUUUGACAUACUUUCAAGAAAAGCGCUGAAGUGCAAGCCCUAGCUCUAUUCAAACACAAGGAAACUGUAAAAAAAAUUGUGAAAAUCCUGCCCAAAAACAACACAAUCGCAAAUUUAAAUUUAAUCACAACCCUACUUAAAGCCAUCUGCAGCAACAACUUCAAAGGAACAAAAUAUAAAUUCUAAUUUAUUUAGACAUUUUUUUCGACAGAAGAGGUAUCCGAUUGAACAGCAAAUGCAUUCUGCAGGCCUUCGCGGAGCUUCUUCCGCAAGCUUUCUUCUUUACGGUUCUUUCGAAUCUCGACCAUGUUGUUUAUUCCCCCCAGCAGCACUCUUCAGCGUCCAACGCCACUUCAGAAAGAUUAGUUCUAAAUUACAUCCCGAGUAGUUUUUCUGGGUUAGGAAAAUUAAAUUUGAAAGUUACGGAAGAUUCGUGGGAACUCUGCAAAAUGCAUUAAAAAAAGUGAGAAUUAGAGUAGAGAAGUUUAUUUUUAUCUUUUACCCUCUGAUUUUUGGGAUUGGCUCAAUAUGCCUAUUUAUCUUUGAACUCCAAUCGGAGCCUUGUGGUUUCCAAUGUCCUAUGCAACUAUAAAUCUCCCUCUAAUGCCAAUGGAAGGAGCUCUCCUCCUUCGUCGCCCACUUCUCCACUUCCUGUAAUGACAUAUUUAGUCAACCCCAACUCAAGAAAAAAUCCAACCAUUCACAUGAAAAUUGAAAUCCCAUGCAAUGAUAAAACCUAGAACACUUAAAAGUAAAAAAAUAAGAAGAAAGAGAGGCAAAACAAUUCAAAAAUGGAAUUACGGAGAUGGGAUUAAUUGGAAAAGGUGAUUACAUUUUUGUUGUGCGUGUAGGAAAAAUUGAGAGGGAAUCUACUGUAGAUUUCUAGAUAAGAUCAUGGAGAAAGAUGUGGUGUAGGGAAAAAUUAAAUAGGAAGAUGAUGAGUGAAAAAAACUGGCAGAGAAGGCCAAGAGAAGAACGAGAAAGGGCAAUGGAGAUUGCAGAGCUUUCAAGCGGUGGUGGUUCCAUUGUACCUCAAAUCACUGCUAAACUUGUUGCCGUCCGAGAACAGCACGUGGGGAAUGUUGAAGAAAGCCAAAAUUGCUUGGACACCUGGUAAAGAAAGCCAAGAAAAAGAAGAGAGGAAACAAGGCCGAAAUUGCCACCGCCAAAAUUGCUCCUAUCCAAUAAUAGCAUGCGGACAGCAGUGAAUUUCCACCAAAACCACUACCAUCCAAUGCCAGAAGACCAAAACACCACUCAAGACUCUAUUCCGACCCAUUGUCAAAACAUUAAUCUACAGCAAACCAUCAAAAUGCGCAAAUAAAGCAAAGAGUGGAGACUUUAGAAGAUCAGCUUGCUCAGAAAAUCAGCUAAGUGAGACAAUGAAGAUUUCACCUUGCAAAACCAAAGAUCACUGGGGACACCAUCCACUGCCUACUCACCAGUGGAGGCAAAGCAACUGCAAUUACACAAGAGAUUAGGAAACCAAACAUACGUGUGAGGCGUAAUAUACAUAAAGCAACAAGUGAAGACUAUUGAAAACUUUGCAAAACCAGAGAUCACUGGGACACCGUCCACUGCCUACUCACCAUCGGAGGCAAAGCAACUGCAAUUACACAAAAGCUUAGGAAACCAAACAUGCGUGUGAGGUGAAAUAUACAUAAAGCAAAGAAUGAAGACUCUAGAAAGCUUUUGCCGCCCAACCGCCCACUAACUUAAUAGUAAUUGCUGACUACCAAAGUGAAGAGCCACGCGGACAGAGCAUUGCUGACUACCAAAAUGAAGAGCCACGCGGACAGAGCAAGGUUACAAUGCAAGAGAGCCAGCGGACAAAAGCAAAAUACCAGCAGAGCCACUGACACCCAUCAGCAAAAGACCAAAACGCCCCUCAAGCUCACACAAAUAACGGCAUAACCGGCCCAUUUUUUACUGUUCACAAGCGGAUUCUCGCUUUAUAUAUGUAAGACUAGAUGUUUUGCCCUGACGCUAUGCGUCAGGUAGGUAUGAAAGAUAGAAGUUGAGAAAGGUGAGGCUGUGGCGGUGGUUUGUACUGGCGUUAGCCAGGUGUUGUUUAUGUGAUUUUGUAGUAUCUGAUUUGUAGUUUGCAUGAGUAGGAUUGCUACUUGUGUUUCAUGCGUUGAUUGUGUCAGGAAAAAUUGCCAAGUUGUGCUGAUUUUCUUUUGUACGUGGCCAGUUUCUUGCUACUAUAUAUAAGGACCUUCGUGUUUUGGGAAUGGUUAUGUGUGAUAUAUUUUUGGUUUGCUAGGUAGUAGUUUGUAUUUUGCAAAGUGUGUGUUUUUUUUCAGUUGGAUGGAGUCGCAGUGUGUUAGUGUUUGCGGAUUGAAUGAUAGAAUUCGAGGAUGGAUUGCUAAGUUAGUUGUCGUGGAAAAAACUUUAUUUCGGCGACCGCGGAAUUCGACUCGAAUGUUUUUUCGAGUUGUUUUUGCUGAUGCUUCUGUAAGGGCUUCUUAGACUUGUUUUUGUAAGUUUUAUUGUGUUUUUGUUUUGUUGAUAUGGAUAAUAGGUAUCUCUUUUUUUCAGGGUGAUACAAUUCAAGGAAUAACAUAUUUAUCUGAUCUGGAUGCUAUGGAUUGUGCAUUGGAGUUGCAUGGGACAUAUUAUAUUGCAAAUGCCACUAUACAGUGUCUACGUAGUUCACGGAUGCAGAUUGGGAUGGUUCCAUAUGAGAUUAUUAUAUCACAUAAUACUGUGAUUAAUCGUGUUUUACCUGAGCAUGCAUUAUCGGUGGAAAAUUUCUAUGAACUGACUCGUUUUUGCGAUUUGGAUUCUUUGAGGGUUAAUCCAAAUGCAAGGAUAAGUAUAACUUUUUUUUGUUUUUUUGGUUGUGGUGUAUUAGUAAGUUUAGGUAUUAUUGGUGUGAUUGCAGGCUAAUUUGUUAUUUUUAUAUGAUAGCUUUGCUUGGUGUAGCUGUUUAUGCUGGUCCGGCAAUAUUUUACGCCAUCGGAAAUAGACAAGUUCAUCUGCAAGAGUUUAUUAUCUUGAAUGAAGAGUAUGUUAUCAGUUUCUGUAUGGUUAGUUAAUAUAGUUAUAAUUAUAUUUUUUUAAUUGUGUUUGUUUAAUUUUAGUGUGUAUAUAAUUUUUGCAGGAGGAUACCAAUAGUGUUUUCAGUAUGGGAUGAUUAUUUUGAGGAUGAUGGCAUGCAUUUAGUUGAACUUAUCAACGAGCGACCAGUUGUUAUGAUUUGUCGUCCACGUAUUAGUCAUCUUCAUGGUAUAUGGGUUUUGAUUUUAGUUUUUAUUAUUUAUUUUAUGGUUGUGUCUAGGAUUUUGUUUAUGUAGAUAUUUUUUGUAUUUUUUUUUAUUCGCAGGUCUUUCUAUUGCAACUCAAGCGACUACCAUUAUUAUGUAUAAUCCUAAUUUGCUCGUGGCUCAGCAGCUAAGCAUUGGUAUGAUACAUUUGUUGGUGAUACUGGCUUUUGAGCAAUGAAAGUGAAGGAUUUUUGGCAUCGCUUGUGGUGAUAUUUCUGUUGGUGUUAUAAUAGCUAGUAUCUAAGAGUGAUUUGUGCAUAGUUUGUAGUUUUGGUGUGGUAUGUUACGGUUGUUAUUUCAUUGAUUGUUAUAAUAGUUGGUAUGUAAUAGUGGUUUGUGAAUAUUGGACGUUUGAUUUUUCCUCUUUUUUUUUUUUUCCUUUGGCUGGUUUGGAGUGGUAUCAUUGAAUCUAAAGUUUGUUUUUUUUAGAAGUAUUUUUUGGUGAAUUAUUUGAUUGUUUUUAGAAGGAUUUUUUAGAUAUCUUCUUGUUAUAUUUUGCUUAAUAUUUAUGUAGCUGUAAUUGAAUUAUGCUGAUGCGGUAUAAUUGUGUAUAAGAAGAAGAAAUCAAACUUUAAGCAAUGUAUAUGUAAGAUAUGUGCGAAUUUGAGUAGGAACAGGAUAAGUAGUUAUAUCUUACAUAUAUUUCAUUUACAAGAGCAACAAGAGCAAGAUAUAUUCAAAAGUGGCCUUGCUAAACUAACUGGCGUUUAUGUACAUUCCGCGCCUUAGGUAUAAAAGUGUCUAAGCAGGGUCUGCAUUAGCCAUUUGCAAUAUUGCUUGAGGUUGAUUAUAGAUAUAAUAUUGAUGGUAGGGCUGAGCAAAAGUGAUAGAAGGUGUGCUGAGUGAGAGAUUUAGAAGGUGCUGAGGUGUUUAUGGCUUUGGGCGUUUGUUGUGGGCUUCUUGAACUGGCUGAAGGGGGUGUUUUUGAUGUUGUUUGUUGCUUGAUUGACGUAAUUUGGUCAUUGAUGGUGGUAUCGAUUGAUGGUUCAUGUGUAGGUUCUUGGAUGUGCUUGGUUCGGUAGAGUCAAUCACAGUUGUGAUCUGAAGGUUACUGUUGUCGGCGGCUAGAUGGGGAAUAGUGUUUGGGGUCGGAGGGAUUGUAAGAUAAGCAACAACAAUGUAUCGUGCAGGCUGAAGUGUUUCUGAUGGUCGAAUGAUAUUUCGUAGUUGGAUGUAGAAUUGGGUAUCUUGGAGGUUGUUAUUGAUUAGCUGGAUGUUGAUUUGUUCAUGUAUCUUUUGCAUGUUUAUGAUUUGAUUUGCUCGGCUGACAUUUGAAGAAUAGACUCUGCAUAUUUGUCUUCAAUUAAUGCUGGUAGAAUACUUGUACCAUCAAAGAGUUGAACUUCAAAACGGAGCCUGCCAUUACAUCAAAUUGUUAAGCAUAAUAUUAGAAUAGGUACAAAAUUAAGUAGUAAUUGAUAAAGCAUAGAAAUUAAAUGCGAACCUUGGUAAUGGUUUUUGGUAAGUGAGAUGGCAGUAAAAGCAUUUGAAUUCUGUAUCAGUAUCAGCUCCUGUUGGUUUUGAACAAUCAGGUUUUGGACAACUUAGGUAGUAAAAACGUGUGUUUGUCACUGAGAUACGAAUCUGAGCCUUUAUCCAAAAGGGCCUGGUCUGUGAUUUCAUACGAUAUAUGUUAGGUAUUGGUAAUUUUAUCUGCAACUGAUUAAUAGCAGUAUGAUUAAGACUUACAUGUUCAGCUGUCAUAGGAAUUGUCGCUAUUUCUUGUAGUUGUGCAGUGGUUGGUGGAUGGAUAAUUUGAUUUGCUUUUUCAUAUAGUCUUUCUUUGAUUAUUGUUUGUAUGUAACAGCUAUUUUCCUUUAUCCUGCAUAAAAGUUGGGUUUAUGAAUCUGGUUGAUAUGAGGAUUAUAUAGUUUAAAUUAAUAGGAUUACCAGUUUCUCAAAGCUGUGGCUUGGGGGAUUUCUGGAUUGAAUAAUAUGAUAGUGGUUGCUUGUGUUCCCAGAGAAAUUGCUGCAAUUGAAUGUAAAUAAGAAUAUAGAUUGUGAAGGUGUGUGAUAAUUUUAUAUAGUUGUAAAUUUGUAUCAGAAAAUAAUAUGCUUACUGUGAUACGAGUUGACUUUUGGUCUAGCCAGUAAGAUGAUAGGUUGCUGAGGUGCCAUUGCUUUUAAUUGCGAUCCUUCGACAGAUAAGAAUUCUUCCCAUAUCGUAAAAGUCAUUGGUCGUUUUCUGCAUGUAUAGAAGUGUAAAUAUUAUGAAUUAGUAACAUAUGGUAGAGAAUAACUUUUAGUUAGAAUUGGCAAGUACUCUUCAUUAACGACAGCAAAUUCUUGGAUCGGCACAUAUCGUUUUCCUCUUGGCACUAAGCGAGGAGGUAGCGCAUGCAGGACAGCACAGAGGAUAUCUGUACAUCAGAGAUCAAUUGUAUUUAGACUACAUGUUUUGUAAAAGGCAGUGUAAGGCAGUGGAUGAAAAUCAUACUUAUUCUUGUUGAGUAAUCGCCAAUGUAAUUAUGUAGCUGUGUAAAGGGUGUUAAUUCAUAGCAAUCAUCAGAGGGCAAUGCAUCAUGUGAUGAAACAGCCUGAAUAAAUGUUCUUUUCGAGAUUGUUAACUGAUAUGGUGAAGAUGCAAGAUAAAAAGGGAUGCUUAUUUUUGUAACCCAAGCAUUUCCAAUGUAGUAGGUGGAAUAAAGCUGAAGAAUUGGCUCGAUAUCUUGAAUGUCUCUUUCGAAAAUAGUUCCUUGGAUGGUGUUUUUCUGCAUUUAAAAAUUGAAGAGAUGUAAUGAGUGAUUUUGUGUAUAAGUGUGUGUGAUAAUAGGUAGAUGAAUAAAAAUUUAUUUGGUUUGAUAUAUCUCACCAUAGCAUCAGCGAACACUAAUUUUUGAUAUGGCCUUCCAUCUUCUUUGCUAUAACGAAUUGCACUUUUUUCUAUCACAAUAAGUUUAGCAAACCAAUUUGAGUUCGUGUCUGUUAACUUUGGUAUCAGAACGCAUUUUCCCUCCAUGUUGAUACUGAAAAAAGAGGGAGCAAAGUAAAAUUAAUUAAUAAGUAAAGUAAAAGUUUCUAUGUAUUAUAUAUGUGAAGGAUUUAGUUUCAGGAGAGCUUGUUUGAAUGCAUUGCAAAAGAAAGCUAGGAAUGAAAUUACCUGGAUAGAUUGGAGAGCAAAGAUUCAGAAGCACAAGAAGAGGUUUGCGAAUCUGUGCAAGCUAAUGAGAUGUGUCUGUUGAGAUGGAAUUGAUUUAUAUAUAAUGAGUAAGGAUAGUGGAAUGAGUGAUAUGUGAUAAUGAGCAUUUGGUCUGGCGCAUUGUUAAUGGGAGACAGUAUCUAAUUGCAUGUGGUUAGAAGCUGCCAGAGAAAGCAUGUAAUGAUUAAAAUGGUGCAUGGCAGAUAGAGAUUACGUGUUACACCUACCAAUGAGUUUUACAUGUGUCAUGCAAUGAAAUUAGAAACGAUUGCUGCAUAUUGUGAAGGACAUCUGGAUAUGGCUUUCAUGAUACAGGUAGCAAUAUAGAAGGUACAGGUGUUUAAGUCGGGUGUUGUUGAAGGCUCUAAGCUGGUAAACUCAUUGGAGGUUAGCAAAAUAAAAUUCCUUUGGAUCUGUUAUAAUCUCUUUAUUUCUUAGAUGUAUUUCAAAGCUAGCAAUAAUUUCUGGUCUCUAAAUAAUCAUGACAGCUUGCAUUUGAAUGAGCACUUCUAACCUGUGGGAAUGUCAUACAUUUUAAGGCAUUGGCUGGUGGGACUUUGUGGCUGGAUUUAGUCGCAAGCAAGAUUGCAGCAGAGUAGUGGAUUACUGUUGGAUCUGCUAUAGGAAACAUUACUUGCAGGUCUUUCUUUUAUUCUCCAUUUUGUUUUGAGCAAGUCGUUGGAUGAUAGAUUCCUUUUCUCUCCUUUUUCAUUUUGUUUAGACUUGUAUCCUCAAUGUUGUUUGUUCUUGCAGCAAUUCGGUGAAUAUCUACAUGGGAAUUGGUAUUCCGUGGCUCAUUGAUACAAUAUAUGACUUCAUCGCAUACAAUGAAUUGUUGCGCAUACACAAUGCUGAAGGUACCUGGGGAGAGGAAAUGAAGAGAGAGGCAGCAGCUAGGAGCUGGGAGAUAGUAUCUGGGAGUGGGAGGUCUAAUUCUGAGGGGGGUUUUGACUUUAUAUUUUUUAUUCUAAUCAAAAUUGGCGAACAGAAUUUAUAAGAAAAUAGAGAAGGUGCUUUUUUAUUUUCCUUUCGACUCUAUUUUUUUCCUCCCCUAAGUAGUUUAUCCAUAUUCAUUUCCUAGUAUAGGGUAUAUAGGGUAGUGAAUGAGAGUUUCUUACCAUGUUCUUAAUUUCCUUAGACUCGUAUCUUCUGUGGUGCGUUGCUAGAGGUGUAAAGGGUGUCAGCUGGCUAUUUAUGCGAGAGAAUCAUUUGUUUUCAAUUUGGACAUCGUUUGGUUACUGCAACUGUUGCUUUAUGUAAUAGCAGCUUUCUUUAACCUUUUUUUUUUUUGAAUUUGUUGUGAUUUGUAAAAGAAUGUCAAGCACCACCUUUGCCAUUGUAGAUCCAGGACUUGCCAUUGAAUCCAAGAUUUUCGUUCCAAUGCUCUAAUUGGUCUUUUGACUUAAAUGAGACUCAGAAAAAACAUGUUAAUUGCAUAUUCCAGUUGAAUCUGGAAUUUUGACAAAGAUGUGUAACUUAUAUUUAAUCAUAAACUUUUUGUUGUAAUCAUGAUUUCUUAAGAAGGAUUUCAUGAUUUUUCGUCAAUAAAAAAAGCGAUAAGGUGUCACUUGAUUAUAAUAAUGACUGAUGCAGUAGUUCAAAACCUUUUAUGCAGGAAAGUCUUUAGAACCAGAAAGCUCUAAGCAAGGCAAGUAGUUAAGGAGAAAUGAAAGAUGUACGGCUAAUAUUUUCCUAAUAAAGAUGAAAACAUUAUACAGGGAGAACUGGACCGCAAAUACUUGAUUCAUAAGCUGGAGAAUAAACUUACGAAUUUCUAAAAUGAAAACCCUUAUACUUAGUGAAAAUGGCACUUGACAACAAAAGGAUAAAGUGCGACACCAAAACCAAAUGCUCUGUAGAAACAGAAUCAGCCACAAAAAUCAUAUAGCUAUAAACAUAACCUUCCUAUGGCAGUAUAUGUCUAAUGAAUCUUCAAUAUGGUUCAGCUUCAAACAGCAGCAUUUGUACAAGCUGUCGCUGCAGCAGCUAAUGCUGCCCUGCUUCGACUAUUCCAGAUAUGUCGUGGUACGGUAUUAUUUGGACUUCAUAACUUGAUGAAAGCAAAACAAGAUCAGCAGGAAAGAAUUCAUCCUUCUUCACUUUCAUUACAUCUCCAAUUUUCAAAUCGAUGCACUUGAUGUAUUGGAAACUUCUAUGAUUGCUGUAUACUUUAACUAACCUGUUGUUUAUUUCAAUAUCCUGGUAUUAUUCCCAAAUCUUUAUUAUAUACUGGGUGAAAAAGAAAACACGAAAUACAGAUUAAACAAAUCAAAACCAAUUGCAGAUCAGCAAUCUUUAAGCAAUUUAACAACAGAAGAAGGCAGCAAUGGAAAGUUCAAGACUUGCAAAAGGACGAGACAAAUGUGGACAUAAAAACUUUGGAAGUGAUAAAAUUGGGCAAAGAACAUGAGAAAGAAGUGUAUAGGAUGACGAAGUAGGAGCUUUUCUUCCUCCUGAAAGGAAAAUGAGAAUAAGGGAAAGAGGAAAACGAAAAGGGAAGCCAAAGUUUUCUGUGCAUCAUCGUUUUAGAAUUAUUCUAAAAUGUUGUAUCUGGAGAAGCAUUAGCAGAACAGUGCAGUAAUUGAUUACCUACAACAUGUACCUUCUUUUUGAAACAUCAAUGCCACAUUUCGGAACAAAAAUCUUGACUGAUUUGUCAGAGUAACACCUAUGAACUCAGGUAGACCAGCUACAAGAUCAAUGAUGCAUGAUAGUUAGGCUUAUUAAAUUCCCCUUGCAUUAAAAUUCUAGAAAUUAAUUGCAAAAUAUGGUCCAAAACCAUAUAAAAACUACUGGAAAAUUUACUGCAAUUUGACAGAAAAUACUGGGAUUAUUGAUAAGCUACAAUACUUCAAUGUACUCAGAAGGGGCAUUUGAGCUGAGCUCCUGGACACAAAUCCGAUGGUUAUUGAUAAUCUAAGAUCAGAAAUGUCACUUACUUCUGAAUCUCCUCCAUCUUUAUCUUCAGCUUUUCACGCUCAGCUUCAGUAUUAAUGCUCCCUCGAAGUUCCAGGUAGACAGAUACCACUUCGUUUACAACAGAUACUGCACAUCCAGCUGGAGAGACGUCAUUCUCACCUAAAACCUGCACAUUUUGAUCUUUUUAAGGUCACAAGGAUAAGAGAUUGGAAAAGGAUUAAAAAUGCCACAAAAGUAGGGCAAAAGAAGAGGAUCAUUGCAAAAAACUAAUGUUGAAAAGCCUAGCCCUCCAAUUAUAGAAUACUCUAAAGAUUCUUGCCUGGAUAUAUUACUGAUUCUACUGAAACUUUGCUUUUUUCUUUUGACAGCAGUCAUCUUCAGCAACUGUGAGCUUGUUAUGCCAAAUUCAGAAUAUAACUCUAAUAGAGUGAUCAAAUUUUCACUUUUCAGUAGUGAAUAUGCUAUCUUGCAGAAAUAUUGAAGUUUCCUGAUGAAAAUAGACAAAUGGCAACAGAUAAAAGUACGAAUUAGAUUCCAAGAAAGUCAGUUUCUUGGAAGGAAUAGAGAAGCAAAUGGUAAUUCUUGCAGUGUCUGUAAUCAUCAUAGAGAAGGAAUUGUUCUGCAAAAAAUAAUUGCAUUUGAAAUGUUAAAUUUUAGGACAAUAUCAAAAUGCUAUAAAUCAAGUAGGAAAUGAAGAAGUGAUAAAUCCUACACCUUGAUACAGAUUUUUUCAGCUCAUGAAACAUGGAACGGGGAAAAAGGCAAUCCAUGGCAAAUUGUAUUAUAAUUAACAGGACCUGAAGCUAGUAUGGAUAACUUAUUGUUGAUCGAGGAUGACAAAUGUAUUGCACUUGCAGAGGAGUAUGUGUACCUUGCUAAUUUUGCUUACUUAGGAGGGAUAGGCUUGGCAGUAUUGACACUGAUUUUGCCUUUACUUCUAGGAUCAACAACAAUUACAACUUUUUCUUCAUCUUCUAUUCCAGCCAGUUGAUGAAACCUGACUUUGUUCUUGACCAGUCCUUUCUCUGUUAAGAAGUAGAAGAAAGCUCAUGUUUCUUGAUUGUAGACCUUGAGCUGAACAUUUUGUUUUUCCUUCUUCUUUCUUGGAAUGUACACUUUUUGCUGCACUCGUGCCAUCAAACAUAUUAACUAAUAAUGAUAUGAUCAGGCUAUUGGUUGCCGAUGGAUGAUGCUUCAUGAAAAUAGCAGACUUGUUCAUUUGUGAAACAAAUUUGGCAUUACCUACUUUCACAAAGAAAGCAGUAAGGAAGUAUAAACAAAAUAAAUUUGAAAUGGAAAUUAGGAUAAAGAGUUAGAUAACAUACCUUAAUCUGUAUCAAUAUGAAUUGCUAGCAUAUAUUCAUUAAUCAUUCAUGAUUGCAGAUAAGACCUCUUUGUAGACUAUAUUUUUUGUAAGAUUUGUUACUUUGGAAAACAGAUUUGGAGGUCGUAUUAAUACUUUAACAUUACUUGAUGUCCUGCCACGUGAUAAUGCAACAUAUAAUUGGCCAUGGGAGAAAACAGGCUCUUUUAGAUAUAGACCGACAUAAUCCAAUGUUUGUCCUUGUGCUUUAUUAAUCGUCAUUGCAAAACAUAAUCUCAGAGGAAAUUGUGUUCUUUUGAAAGGAACUGAGCAGAAAUCAUCAUCAGAAGUUUGCAAAGGAAUUCGAGGAAUAAAGACAUGUUUACCUUUAAGAGAACCGCAUGCAAUCUCUGCAUGUAUUACAUUGUUUCCAAAUUCUUUGCAUAUCAAUCGGGUGCCAUUAGAUAGGCCUUCAGUAGGGUUGAUGUUUCGAAUCAACAUAACAGGACAAUUAAUCUUUAAUGUUAGCCUAUGAAGAGGUAAACCUUUGGGCAUUAGUGAAUUCAAAAAAUCUUGUGUCUCUGAUUGAUGAGAUGAAUCAAGGACUUCAUCAUAGCUUAAAUAUACCUGUUCUGUACCUGGAAAUUUAGCAAUGACUUUGUUAUUAAUUUCAAAUACAAAAUCAUUUCUCGUCAUUAAAAUUGCAUGGUUAACAAUAGAAUCCGGGCAAUGAGCAAAAGCAUUUAAAUCUGGAAAUACCGCGGUGAUCAAGGCAUCAACUGAUGAAUCAUCAUUGAGAAAUACCAAAUUCAUUCGUUCAGGUACACAGACUUCGUCAUUCUGGUUUGUUGCUUCGAUACCAUUACCAAUUCGAAGAAGGUAUUUAGAGAAAUCCGGAUCUAGCUGAGCUCGCAUGUUCUGGGAUAGUUUCAAUUUUAUCAGGUACGGCCAAAUAGGAGAUGUUAUUAAGCUAGCAUUGACGAUUUCUUCUUUACACCCUUUGGUCACCACUGGUAGUGUUUGUCGAAAGUCUCCACCAAAAACAAUGAUCUUGCCACCAAAUAUAGCAUCUUUAUUCAUGAUAUCUUUUAAUGAAUCAUCAAAUUUUUCUAUCGAACUGCGUUUUGCCAUGCUUGCUUCAUCCCAAAUAAUUACUUUUGCAUCUCUUAUUAAUUUAGCAAUAGCACUUUGCUUCCCAAUAUUGCAAGUUGCUGUAUCAUUAUCUUGUAAUGGAAUUUUGAACCUUGAAUGUGCUGUACGCCCACCAGGUAAAAUUGAAGCUGCAAUUCCAGAUGUUGCAGUUGCUAAUGCUAUGCCUCCUUUCGAUCGUAUUGCUGCAAGUAGAGCCCUGUAUAAAAAAGUUUUUCCAGUUCCACCUGGCCCAUCUAAAAAGAAUGCACAUGAGAUGUUAUUAUCAAUAGCAUGCAUAAUCUUCUCAAAUGCUAAUUUCUGGUCUGAGUUUAAUUGCUCCAAUGCACCAAGAUCUUCAUUAGAUACAACUAUGCUUUUUUCAACAUCAACUUCCUUACUGUUUAGGUCCUGCGACAAUUGUUCAAGCUGAAUGUCAGUUAAAUUGUAUUCAGCAAUGUUUUUUCCCAUAGACCGAAGACUUGAAUCAAUCAGUUGAAGCACUUGUAUUUGCACAGAAUGUGGUCGGACUGAUGUAUUAUGUCGAAUAUCUUCAGAUAAGAAAUCUUCAUAUUUCAACCACAACUCUCGUGGGUUUUUAGGAGUACAAUAAGCCAGUAUAGAUGCAAAGAGUUGUCUAAGAGAACUUGGCAUUUGGUAUGCAGAGGCCUCCUGUAAGCAAAGUUCAGCAGCAUUGUCGGAAUGUAACAGUCCAAGUAAAUUUGCAGCUUCUUUAUAUGUUUGGCAUGCAUAUCCAUUGACAACUUUUAAAUGUUGGAAAGAAGUAGGUUUUCUAACAUGCAUUAACAACAUUCUUAAAUAAUAACGCUCCCCUCAGUAGGAUGAGCAGUUAAAAUACGACCUAUAACUUCUUUUUUUUUUCGUCUAGUCCAAUAUUUUGAUUGUGCAUUCCAAGUAAAAUGCUCAGGAAACUCUAUAUAUAGACAAUUCAAAUGCUUGGCAUGUUCAUCAUAACAAUUCAUGCUAAAAAACUCUGUAAGCAUUGUUUGUGAGGAACGUGGGUUAUUGAUUAUAUUUUGCAAUGAUUGGUUUUCAUCAAAUGUAACUGAUUGUUUAUUCUCCAAAUGAAGUUGCAAAGGAAUUACCGAUGGAUGUAUUUCAUUUAAGUCAAAUGCAUAGAUUCUCCCAUAGUUAUUAAACCCGGCCCGGCCCGGCGGUCGAACCGUUCGAACCGGUGACCCGGUCAUCAAACCGGGCCGGGUUACUAGUUAGAUCGGAAUUGCAAAGAACCCGUCUAGACUCGUUCGACUCGGACGGUUGAACCAUGGAACCGCUAGAACCGGCGGUUAUUGAUAAAUCCGGUGGGUUUUGGCAAUUUUUUUGAAGUUACCAUUUUACCCAAUUCUUUAUUUUGACCAUUCACAGUACAUGGGCAUUAUCAUCUUUUCGCUACAUUUUUAGCCAAUUAGAAGAGAAAAUCAGAAAAAUUGAAAGGGAUUCGGGCAUUUGGGCAUUCGGCCGUCAUUGGGGAUUUAGGCAUUUAGGGAUUCUUUUCUUCUUUGUUUCUCUUGAGAAGUGAGAACGAAUUGAGAUUUGAGAACUUCUUGAGCAUUUAAGGAUUCGGCAAGCAAUGUUCCAAUUUUUCGGCUUUCAAUUUUUCAGGGCUACGGCUUUCAAUUUUUCUUUCCUUUGCUUUGCUAAUUGCUCUAGCCUCUGAGAGUGAAGUUCGAACUUGCCGCAGCCGCUGCUAGAAUUCUUCUAGGAAGCGCCGCUGCCACCGAAGCUGCCAUUGAAGGGUGAAGCUUUGUUGCCGGUUGCAACUGGACACACACCACGGCACCUUGGAAGUUCGAAGUUGCCGCAGCCGCUGCCGCCUGCCAGAAUUCUUCCAGGAAGCGCCGCUGCGACCGAAGCUGCCAUUGAAGGGUGAAGCUUUGUUGCCGGUUGCAGCUGGACACACACCACGGCACCUUGGAAGUUCGAAGUUGCCGCAGCCGCUGCCGCCUGUCAGAAUUCUUCUAGGAAGCUGCCGCUGCCACCGAAGCUGCCAUUGAAGGCUGAAGCUUUGUUGCCGGUUGCAGCUGGACACAGACGGACAGACCACAGCACCAGUGAAGCCUUGAAGGUAAGUAAAACGGAAAUUUAACUGAUGACAUGCUUCAAGAAAGUGGAAAUUUAACCUUUGACAUUUUAAUUACGUCUGUUGCCGAAGGCCACGAACCCAUUCUGUUAAAAAAAAGAGGUUGAGCCAUAUUUCACCUUGCAAAUACCUCAAGCCCAAGUUUAACAGCUAAUUCGAGAGUAUUUGAAGCUAAGUAUUCAAGAAUAUCCCUAAUCCAUAAAAAAAAAAUUAAAUCUCAGCUAUUCCUCAAUAUUGGCUCAGCUGAAUUGCAAAAUGUACCACCAAAAAAAAAUGACAGAUAACUGAUGCGACAUAGAUUCUUGCAUUAGCAUGUGACUAUAUUUUAUUUGAGUACAUACAUCGAAUUUCUGCUCUAAAUUAAACCAUGCCAAAUAAUCUGAAUUGAGUUUUGUUUCAACGUUGAUUUAGAUCAAUUGCAUGUGAAUUGGUCUUGCCAAAAAUAAUUAGGAUACGUGAACAUUAGCUAUUCGAUAGAUUAUGUUUAAUAUUAUCCAACAAAAAAUUUAAAAAGAAAGGCAUUGGGAAAGGUUGUGUAACUUGUGUUACAAAAUAAAAUCUAUAUAAGUUUUUUUUAAUUAUUAGUCUUGCACAAUUAAAUUAGUCGAGACACCUUGAAUUACCAAAAAAUUUUAUGAUAUUAAUGGCUAAUAUGCAGCUCGGGGCAAAUAUUUUUUGAUUGCAUAUACAAAGGACAUUCACUUCUUAUAAUAUUUGUAGUAAUAACUCAUAGUACCUUCUUUUCUCUUUUCCUUUUUCAUCUUCUUCUAUAUGUAGUAAGGGAAUGCCAUAUAUAAUUUAGUAGUUUUUCUUUCCAAAAAAAAAAGUGAUAUGGAGAAAUCAAUAUACAAGAUACAAUAAACAAAGGUUGUUUAAUUCUUCUUGUGAUUCCUCCCAUAGCUUGAAUCUUGAUACCAUAUUUCAUUUCAUUCCCCAAACAUCAAAAUCAUGAAUAGUGAUAUGGAUCCAUCUCAAUCGAACUUUCAAGGGAUAAUGACAGUAAGGCAUUUAGCUUUCCAUUAUGUUUGCAUUUAAGUUUCACUUUUUCGUUUCAAUUAAGGCAUAUAUAAAUGUCAUUUUCCUAGCUAUAAAUGUUAUUUUUUUAAAUAAAAGAUAUGUUUUAUUACUUUUCAGAUAGCUUGUAAUGGACUCUAUUGGAGAAACACCGUCUCAAACACCAAGUACAGAACCAACACCUAGUACAUCAAAUUCUCAAAAUCAACCUCUAACAAGGGGAAAGACAGACCCUGCAUGGUCUCAUUGUAGAGAAGAUUCUGUGUCCAACAAAAAAGUUAAGUGCUUGGUAUGUAUUCAUUGUGGAAAAAGAAUUCGAGGAGGUGGUAUCAAUCGAUUCAAACAGCACCUUGCAGGCUUAAAAGGGGAGACAACACCUUGUCUGAAGGUUGAUGAACAGAUUAGAUUUGAAAUGCUAGAAAACUUGAAAGCUGUGGAAAGCAAGAAAAGAAGCUUGAAAGAACGCUCAAGGGGAAGUGAUUUAUAUGGUCAAGAUCUAAGACAACAUGAAGAGGAGGUAUACAUGCAAGAUGUAGAAGAUAUUCAAGAGAUUCAACCACCUCCCACUAGUGAAGUUUCAAAAGGAAAAAAAGUUCUUCAACAACACAAAAAAGGAAAAACAAUAGGGACUUUUUUUAUGCCAAGAGCUACUCCAGGAGGUCAACCAUCCAUCAAAAGUGUGAUGCAAAGCAAAGAAACUAAAGAGAAGGUUGACUUGGCAGUUGCGAAGUGGAUGAUUGAUGCUUCCAUUCCCUUCAAUGCAGCAAACUCUGCAUAUUAUCAAACAAUGUUUGAUGCUGCUUGUUCUUUUGGGGCUGGUUACAAAGCGCCUAAUUUCUAUGACUUGCGUGGCUAUUUAUUGACAAAAAAUGUUGAGCAAGUUAAGAAUUUUGUUAAUAGCUUUCGUACAAGUUGGAAAGAAACUGGAUGUACUAUUAUGGCUGAUGGAUGGACUGACCAACAAAGGAGAACUCUCAUCAACUUUCUAGCUUAUUGUCCUAGAGGAACUAUUUUUCUGAAAUCAGUUGAUGCCUCGGAUGCUUCUAAGACUGCAGAGAUGUUGUAUAAGUUGUUUAGAGAAGUGGUUUUAUUUGUUGGGGUGGAAAAUGUGGUACACUUCGUCACUGACAAUGCUGCCAAUUAUGUUGCUGCAGGAAGAUUAUUAGAAAGGGAAUUUCCAACACUUUAUUGGUCUCCAUGUGCUGCUCAUUGUCUAAAUUUGAUGCUACAUGAUAUGGGCAAGUUAGAUGAGGUUAGUAAAGUGGUUGGACAUGCUUCAAAAAUAACAAAAUACAUUUAUAAUCAUUGUUAUCCAUUGCAUUUGAUGAGAAAACACACUGGUGGAAAAGAAAUUAUUCGGCCUGCUCCUACACGUUUUGCUACUAAUUUCAUUGCAUUGCAAAGUAUUUUAGUGCAAAAAGAUGCUUUAAGAGCUAUGGUGACUUCAAAAGAAUGGACUCUUUCAGCAUAUGCUAAGGAGAGUAAAGCAAAAAAAUUUGUGGAUCUUGUGCUAGAUUCUAUAUUCUGGAAAGAAUGUGCUAUAAUAGUUCAAUUAACUGAGCCUCUUGUUCGAGUUCUAAGAAUUGUUGAUAGUGAUGAAAGGCCUGCUAUGGAUACUUGUAUGCUGCCAUGCAUAGAGCCAGAGAAGAGCUUUUGAGAAGAUUCACAAGAAAAAAAAAACAGUUGAUCCUUAUUUAAGAAUAAUUGAUUCAAGAUGGGAUAGUCAGCUUCACAAAAAUCUUCAUGCUGCCGGUUAUUGGCUCAAUCCUGCUUAUCAAUAUAAUUCUCUUGAUUUGGAAAAGCACAGGCAUGCAACAUCAGGACUUUUGGAUGUGAUUGAGAGAUAUUCUUAUGCAAAUCCUGAUUUGAUGAGUAAUUUGACCGGAGAGAUGAGAUUAUUUCGUAAAGCUGAAGGUGAUUUUGGUAGAGUCUCUGCUAUACGAGAUCGUGAUGUCAUGCUUCCAGGUACCCAAAAAUUAACUUCAUUUUUAUUGAUGAUUUGAUUUUAAUUGUAAAAUAUUAUAUUCUGACUUUUUUCCUUUAUUUAUUGCAAUAGAUGAAUGGUGGACAUGUUAUGGUAGCACUGCACCUAAUUUGCAAAAACUAGCUAUACGUGUUCUAAGCCAAACUUGCAGUGCUUCUGGCUGUGAAAGGAAUUGGAGUUUAUUUGAGCAUAUCCACUCAAAGAAGAGAAAUAGAUUGGAGCAUCAAAGACUAAAUGAUUUGGUUUAUGUACACUACAAUUUAAGACUACAACAAAGGUAAACUACAUUUUGCAAUCUGAUUUUUGUUUUAAUAUGACGACAUUUGUUAUUUAACUAGUUUUAAUGUUUUGUAUUAUUAGAAAUGCAAGGGGUAGAAAUUAUGAUCCUAUUGAUUUUGAGGACUUCAGCGCCAAUGAAACUUGGAUUUUGGAUGAUGAACCUUCACAAUUAACUCCAGUUGAAUUAGAAAGCUUUAGGAAUGAAAUAGCUACAUUUGCUAUCAGCCGACAAAGUGGUGAGUUAUUCUAUUUGAGCCAUAUGCUUGCUUAUUCUUUGUUAGUUUGUUUUUCGUUUUUGGCUAAAUAUUAUCUAAAUUUAGAGAAUAAUUCAUUGAUUUUUGUACUUAUGUAGAUGAAACUCUAAAUUUGGAUGAUUUGGACACUGGAGAUGAAGAUGAGACCAAUAAUGAAGAGAAUGUUGAAAGAAAUGAUCUUAAUGUGGGCUGUGAUGUAAAUGAAUUUGGUGGUACUGAAUUUGGCAGAAGUUGGGAACCAUGGCAUGAAUAAUAGAUGGAGUGAACUACUCAAGUGAUAAUUGUGGUGUUGUUUAUGUUCAUGACUUUAUGUUUGGUUGUAUUGAAUUGGUCGUUUAUGACUUAUGUUUCAUGGUUUGAUACUUAUAUUUAUCAUUUAUAUUUGUGUGUAAUUUACUGAUUUUAGUUUGAAUUCAUGAAUUGUUGAUCACAUAUGGUUAUGGAUUAUGUGUGUGAAAUGAAUUAUGAACUAUGAACUAUGAACAGGUUAUAACUUGUUGGGAUUUAAGAAUUUCUGUAAUUAUAUUAUAAUUUACAUGUUUAUUUAAUUAUAUUAUAUAUUUUUUUAUUAUAUAUUGUGACCCAACGGUUCAACCAGUGAUCCACCGGUUGAACCACUGACCCGUCAACACCCGGUCCUCUUGCCGGUUGAUGUCCGGUUGGUUUUAAUAACUAUGGAUUCUCCACAUUGCUUCAGGAGGAGAGACCCAUCUUGCCACAAACAAAAUUUUUUAUUUCGUCAACAAUUUCAAUAGGCCCAGUAUUACUCACCUGAUAUAAAAUUUUAUCAUGGCCUUUAUAGAUAUAUUUAUAUAUAUAUUUGACAGCCUGAAUUGUUGAACAAUUUCUACAUUGAUAUGGCAAUUAAAUUUAGAGAGUAAAUAGCGGAUUGUAUGGUAUUACCCAUCGAUUAUCAAGAGGAUGGCCCACGAACAAUUAUUGAUUGCUGAAAAUCUCGUCGUCGAUAGAGAGGGUAGGAGUUGUGGCUGUGCCGUGUGAUUUCUGUAAACUCCUUAGGAUAGUUAUCCUUGCAUCCAAGAUGUUGUUUCAUGCAUGGGCAUUUUGGAUUCAUAGCACCACAAGGACCGUGCAUCAUGUGCUUAACAACGAGUUCAUGAAGAUAAGGAUGGCGGCUAGCAUCUGGCAGCUCAGCACAUACUACACGAUCAUAUGAUUCAGGAGAGUACAUCUUCCAUCCUUGUUUCAGAAUUAUUAAGAAAUGAGCGUGGGGCAAACCUCUUUUCUGGAAUUCGAUUACAUAUGUGUAAGCUGCUAUUUUUCCAAAUAUAUUCUUCUUCAGAAGUUCAUCUUUCAAGACUUCAAGUUUUGCACGGAAGACUCGAGAAAUUAGAUCUGGCCUGUUCUCAACUUUAUCAGUUGGCAGAAGCAAUUUUUUAAUCUCAGGCCAAUUCUUGUUACAAGUCAUUGUCAGAAAGAUGUCUGGUUUCCCAUAUCUUUGAACCAAAGACAUAGCAUCCAUAUAUCGGCGUCGCAUAUCUCGAGGCCCACCAAUGAAUGAAGCUGGAAGGAAAAUACGUUUACCAAUACCUGAUGAUGAUGAUUCACCAUUGGAAAUGCUAUCGACUAUGCCUUGAUAAAAUCUCAGUUCGAAGUUGAGCCUGUUUGUUCCUCCCUCUAUGGAAAUCUAAUCUAAUUGACUCAAUCUUAACAUACAUAUCGACCACGUAUUGUUGCAGUAAUCUGCCUAUAUGCAAUAACAUUGACUGAUCAGCAUCUCGAAUUUGCAGUUUGUAACAAUAGUACUCACGACAUGAAACCGUGUUCCGUUUUCUUUUUUUUUGGUUAAUAGCUGAAACAAACAAAUAAUGAUAUUUAUGUUAUUUAUCGAUAAAGAAAGAUAAUAGACGAUGCUAUAUGGAGAUGAUUAUUGGUAAUACCUCUAUUUUCCGCAUCAAUGAUAUCAUUUGCCGUUGUUGCUGUAGCUGUAGCUAUAACAGUUUGUCCCUCACAAGUAACUGGUCUAAUAUUGCCUCUAUCCGGACGGCGCAUUCUCUCAAUCCCUGGAUGCCAACCUGGUUCUCCAUUUGCAAAGAUAAGAGGAUAUUGCAAUGAAUCAUGACAAGCAAAGUAAUGCUUAACAAUUUGCGUUUGACCAUUCUUUCCAUAAAUUUGUAUAUGUUUAGAGUUAAGAUGUUCAAAAUCUGAACUAUCAGUCCAAACAGCUCCUACUUGUGACACAGUAGGUUUAUUGAAAACUCGUUGAUCUAUAGCAGGCGUAGUUUCAAGCACAAUCUUAUAAUCAUCCAUGUCUGGCAAAUCUUGUAAUCCUCGAAAGAAUGCAGAGUAAGGAUUGAUCUUUAAAAUUUCCUCAAGCUUUGUCACCAGUGUUUCUUGAAAUCUAGCUGAAAUUGAAAGCCGCUGCGUUGUUUCAUGCUCAGUGUCAAAAAAAUAAAGCUGCAAGUUUCGUGGCUUCUCACCAUCCUCUGGAAUAAGCGCAUUAAUAUAAUGAUACAUUUGUCCUUGGAUUCGAAAUGUAUAAAUUCCAUUAUAAUUUGCAGCCAAAGAUUUGUCAGAAUGAAUACCAAUCGAGGUAAAUGCAAACAUAUUAUUAUAGCUUCUAACGCAUCUGCGAAACUCGACAGCAUGAUCAGAAUCUUCAAUAUAUAAUAACAUAAGCUCUCCGGCAUCUCAGUAGAUAAUAGCUGUAUCUCACCAGAGGAACAGCAAAAACCAGGCGGUUCGUGAUGAAAUCGUUUUGCAUGACAGUACGGACAAUUUGGAACAUCAGGCAAUACUGUGGGCUCAAUAGCUAUCGUGGCUAACGGAUCAGUAACAGAGCGUCUUACAGAUCGACGUUUUCUACGUAAUGGUGAUUGACCAAUACCUAUAUUAGUUGAUGAAACCUCGUUAGCACUAUCAACAAUAGAGCUAGAUACAUUUUGUUCAUUUUCCUGCAAUACAACGACAGCAUAGUUAAAGAUUGGGAGUUUAACACGCUUAAAUAAGUCAAUCUGAUCUGUAAUAGAUAAAAGCUAACAUCUCAUACCAUUGGAAAUUGCUCUGCAUUAUUCUGUGUAGAUGGCAGCACUGGGUCUGAGCCUAAUGAAGAUUCUGCAGCACUCAUAUUUGGCUGAUUAAUAGUAUUUGGUUCACGUAUAUUAAAAGCUGUGACAGCCAGCGUACACACUCCUGAUGGCACAUCAUUUUUUCUCCUUUGGCGAGCAGCAGCACGUUGGUCGCGUCUCUUUCGAUUUUUCUCAGCAUUAGCCUCUUCUAAACUUUUAUAUAUUCUAUUCCGACCCAUUGUCCAAACAUUAAUCUACAGAAACCAUCAGAAAAUCAGCUAAGUGAGACAAUAAAGAUUUUACCUUGCAAAACCACAAAUCAUUGAGGACACCGUCUACUGCCUACUCACCAGUGGAGGCAAAGCAAUCGCAAUUACACAAGAGAUUGGGAAACCAAUUUCACCUUGCAAAACCACAGAUCACUGGGGAGCCAAAGCAACUGUAAUUACACAAGAGAUUGGGAAACCAAACAUACACGUGAGAUGAAAUCUUACAUAUAAAAGCGUCAAUAGGAAACUUUAGAAAACUUUCCACGGCAUUUCUUAAGCUGCUAAACAAAACUAAGAAGAAGAACAGAACCUAAGAAGAAGAAAAAAAGCUAGGAGAAAAGAAAGGAUAUAGCUGACCGACCAACCGCCCACUAACUAAUAGUAAUUGCUGACUAUCAAAAUGGAGAGCCACAUGGACAAAGCAAAGCUACAAUUGAGGAGAGUCAGCAGACAAAAGCAAAAUGCCAGCAAAGCUACAAUGCAAGAGAGCCAACAGACAAAAGCAAAAUGCACUGCCACCCAUCAGCAAAAGACCAAACCAACCGCCCACUAACUAAUAGUAAUUGCUGACUAUCAAAAUGGAGAGCCACGCGGACAAAGCAAAGCUACAAUUGAGGAGAGUCAGCAGACAAAAGCAAAAUGCCCAGCAAAGCUACAAUGCAAGAGAGCCAGCGGAUAAAAGCAUUGCCACUAAAUGGGAAAAGACCAAAGAACCCCUCAAAGUCACAAAAAUAAGGCGUAAUAUACAUAAAGCAACAAGUGAAGACUAUUGAAAACUUUGCAAAACCAGAGAUCACUGGAGACACCGUCCACUGCCUACUCACCAUCGGAGGCAAAGCAACUGCAAUUACACAAAAGCUUAGGAAACCAAACAUGCGUGUGAGGUGAAAUAUACAUAAAGCAAAGAAUGAAGACUCUAGAAAGCUUUUGCCGCCCAACCGCCCACUAACUUAAUAGUAAU
RNAcentral lists this long non-coding RNA (66147 nucleotides) under Coffea arabica (coffee). RNAcentral describes it as "long non-coding RNA (CARA_LNC001655)". Lineage: Eukaryota; Viridiplantae; Streptophyta; Magnoliopsida; Gentianales; Rubiaceae. The record is from RNAcentral.